AGAGCUCCAGCAGGUGAGCAGCGAUUCGCCUCUGAGUCGUGGACAGUGCUGCUCUGCACACUCCUCUAAAUGCUACCUUGUAGGCUGACAUUGCUGGUGCAGCUGAAGAAGCAGGUAACACAACUACCUGUGUACUCGUGUUACCUGCUACACGAUUACAGGUAACACACUGAACACUGAACAAGUUACAUUUCUGACAAAUAUAAUUCCAUUACAGUAAAAUGUUAUUUAGUAAUGCUGAACCCCAAACACUGAUUACAGGUAUAAAUCAGCCCACACAAACCAGUGCACUUUAUAUUCUGGAUUUUAUGGUAAAUACAUCUUUAAACAUACAUAAAAGGGUAAAAAGUGAGUCAAAAUAAACCCUAAAACUAAAAUCAAACCAGAGACUGUUGGAAAAGAAAAAUCUCUGUCUUACAUAUUGGGGUCUCACGAAUUGAACUGUUCACCAAAAACUUUUCUAACACUAUCCUCUCAAACACUUUUUGUUUCCAAGGUCAUUCAUGUUAGAGAAUAAGAGGUGCAUUUUUAAUUUAAAAACUACAUCUACUUUCAUUGGUAGCAGCUCACAGAAGGAAAAUUUCUCAUUGGAGUAGAGUCAGAGGUUGAAGACACUGAGGCAGUGCUUGCUGCUCAUGAGCACAAAAAGAGAGAAAAAAAAACACACAUAGAAAGGCUUUUAUUCUGUUGAAAGGGAAGCUCUUUCUGGUGCAUAAAAGACUGAAAACACACACACACACACACACCUGUUAGCUUUGUCAUCCAGCCUGAGUGUGUAUUGAUCGGAAGCAGGGUGGUUCUGCUCCACACAAAUAGAUAGCAAAGCAUUGAUUUUGUGCCUUUAGUUUGAUGGAGCAAUGUACAUAAGAGAGAGCUGAGGAAGGAAGGUGUUCAAAGUGGAAGAGGAACUUGAUCGGCGACAGGUGAUAGUAUCUAGUAUCUAGUAUCUGGACUGUUGCUGUGAUGCUGUGAACAUGGCGCACACUUACUGGGGCUUUAUAUGUGCAGUGAGUAGCAGGCUUUGUGAUCUUACAGCACAGGAAGUCGCUUUUUCUUGGUUUGGUCUUAACAAUGACCAACCAAUGUCAAACACUAUCUGUUAUAAUACGGUUCAAUAUCCUAAUCCUAACACUCUUUUGUGCUACCUUUGUAGACAGAGUAAGGAAACCAUUAAAAAACAUGCUGCUGAAAACACUGACCAUGUAGACACUUGGUGUGGUGCCACUUUAAAGUGAACUGGUUCAGCGUUCAAACCCCAGAGAAGAGCUUUCCAGGAAAUGCUUUACUCAAAUUGCAGUCUGAACCAAGGGGCAACCUCCAGUCAUGAGAAAUGAAACUGAUGCUGAAGCACUAAAACUCGUACACCAGAAACCACAGACAAAACCCAUAUUUAGAGUCAAAAUAAAUACAUUUCCAGCCUGGCUAAAAAAGGCACUUGGUCUGAGAAGCUCAGGGAUACCAUGACACCAGCUGUACAGAGUGGCUUUUUUUGUUAUGCGCUUAUUUUGAAGACACUGAAGUAACAAGAUCAGCGAAUUGAAGGUAACCAUUUACAAAAAAAGGUUAAGGCCCGCCUCUGGUGAGUUGACCAUGUAAGGUUAAAACUACAUUUACACGUGCCCAGCUAUCUUCAUAAACUGACAUUUCACCCUCUCUGUUUACAAAAAAAAAAUGUAUGCACACUGCUACAACUACGUUUUCAGAAAAGUUUUCGUUUACACCAACCCGUGUGUAUAUGCCAUCAAGAGCAUGCCAAACCUGUAGGUGGCAGUGUAGCCAGAAGCUCAAGCCCAUGUAAGCCAAUCAGAAUCCUGCAUAGCAGCAGCAACAACAACAACGUCACUUCUUUCUUUUAGAAAAGAUGCAGAUGCAAGCAAAUAUAAAGAAACUGCACCUAAAUGCAACUUCUAUUCUGCAUGCAUCCAUGAUCACCAUAAAUUGUAAACAACGACGCAUGCAACCAAGUUUCUGGCGCACAAUCUGCUGUCGGCUACCCAAAUCUCUGUUUCUAAAAUGAAGGGCGCAAACGAUGGUUAAUGUCUCCAUUUUUAAAAAUAACCGGGUACGUAGAAACGGUGCCUAAGUCAGAAUUUUCAACAUGGUGAUUUUUGCUGAUAGGCUUCACAACUUUGCUUCAGAAACAGAUAAAUACGACCAACACUACUUCCAUGUAUCAUACAAUGUUUUCCAAGCCCAGCUUUUGAGAAACUGCAAUAAAAUGGUGAAACUAGAGGACUAUAAAGAACCAAGACCAAACAAGCUCAUGGACUUGGGUGUUAGUGAAGACACUUUAGAGGGAAGUGGUUCAGUCCUGAAAUCGAGAACACAUACUCCCCAUGUGAGGCAGUGAAACACUCUCCCUACAGUGCAGUUGGAGCAAAACAGAAAAAAAAAUGGUGAAAUAGACAGACUUUAAGAGGGAAAUGUGAGCCAACAGGUCUGUGGUGCGGUGAUUAACCCUUGUGCUUCUUGGUAAAAUGGUUCUGGGUUUGAAUCCCAGCUCGGGACUUUCCACCUGAGGUUAAUGUGUAAUGUUUUCCUCACCCUUCUGUCAGAGAUGUGUUUUUGGGCAAACAUGAAGAAAAAAAUACCUCAAAGGGCAAGCAGACGGUCCUGUGGUGCAGUGGUUAGUGCAGCCACCUUAAGUGAAAUGGUCCUUGGUUCAAAUCCAGGGCCGUGACAGUGUUAAGUAGAGGCAAGGUAAAAAAGAAAAAGGUAUAAGGCAGUGAAGAGUAAAAGAAGUAAGCAGGCGAUGAAAACAAAAAAGAAAAAAAGAGAACUCUCCACCCCAGAGAGGGCAGUAAGGAUAGACAUAUCGUGUCUGUGCUCCCUGAAUGUUCUGCACAUGUUCACGUUUUUUUUCAAGCAGUCCAUGUUUCCUGAACCCUGCUGGGCUGACAUUAAAGCUCAUUGCCUCCUACGGUGUGAAACAUUCAUUCAGACUCACAUCAUUGAAAUCUGAAGUCUGUUUCAUGAAGUUCCAGUUCUGCAGGUUGAUUAAAACUUGAUUCAAAUUGCUUCUGAAUGUGAUGUUUGAAGAUCAGUUGUUUUUAAUUUGUGGUUUGAUCAACUCGGUGUCUAUUUGCUUCCUUUCCUGAUGGCAACAUUAACUCUGACGGCGCUGCAGUUACGCUUUUCCCCAGGUAAUCAAAGUCGGAUAGAAAAGAUUAAAAGAGAUUGCUCAGGAAACGAUAUGAGAGGAAAAUGAUAAAUUGUCCCUGAACCCAAACAGGAAUCUGUCAGUAGUGGUUCUGUCAGGAGAGGGUUCAACAGAUUAGAGUUCAGGCGCUCUUGACUUCAGUCCAACCAGCAGAUCGAGUUCCCGCAGACGCAGGGAAACAGAUACAAAUGUGUUUGACAUUUUGUCAGUUAUUGAUUGGGGAUUACAACUGCAGGGCAGGAAAUAGAGUCUGUGAGGGGUCUGUGGUGGGAGGUGGAGGUGAGACCUUCACCACAGGAGCGAAUGAUGUCACAGGAUUUCACCCCACAGAGCAGGCUGCUGCACGCAAUUAUAGGCUGAUCAUGACAGAAGUGACUAAUUCUGAUCCACACGGGAAACCUCAUUUAUUCUUCUUAGUACAUGUGAAAGGGAUUCAGUCUUUAAAAAAUGCAUGGCAAUAACAUACGUUUUGAAAUAACAAUAAUUAACUUGGAUUAGCCAUAAACAAAGCAAGAUUAAGAUGUUUUGGUCUUGUUUUAAUAAGGAAUAUUCAAUAUUCAUCAGCCUCUAUGAAAUAAUUACAAUUAUCUGAAUUAUGAUAUCUGUACAUAUAAAGCAUAAUGAUAGAACACAUGGCAUUAUGUUACGCAAAGAGCCUGCAAUUAUUUGCAUGCAUCAAGUUUGCAGGGACAGAUAAAAAAUGUAUAUUUAACACCGAAUGUAUAUAUUAUUUUAUCAUUCAAUGCUGAGAUCAGACUACAUAAUACCAUCGUGGUUGUGGCCUCAUCCAGCAAGCAUAUAUUCAACUUUAGGGACCUGCUGUACCCAGAAAAUAUAGUUCUAUCAUGUAAUGUGUCCAUACCUUAACUAAGAGUCCAGCAUGUUUGAUUUUUCACUUCUGCUUUCGACAAUGUGCUGCGAUCAUAGACCCCAUAACUCGAACAAAGUAUAGUGUCAUAAAGCUUCCCCAGGUGUUAACAGAGAGGAAAGAGACUUAUCAAACUCAAAUCGGGUUUCUGUCAGUGUAGACCUUUCUUUAUAUGCUAAUUUGUGUUCAACUGGUCAUUUUGCAGACUGGUUUCUUUUUAGGGGCCAUGUCCCAGAGAUGAGGACUUGAGUUUGAGACUUGAACUCCAGUUGCACUUCAGUUGCGCAUGAAUGUGACUUCAGGCUUGAUUCAAACUUGACCCUCUUUGGACUUUAGACCCGAUUGGGACUCAUGGACUUAUUUGCAUCUUGUUUCAGUGACAUCAGGUCAUUAUCAUUCCCUCUUUUCACACAUUAAAUACAGCUCCUGGUUUGAGAGCGGCCGCGUCAUUUCACCCACUGAGACCAUAGCUACUAACCCCCAAUUUCCACCGCCUACUUAACUGCCCGGAUAUCGCCCUACUCCGCAGCUGAUCGCAGGAGUUCUAUUUUUUCCGGACGCAGGAGCAUGCUGGAUAAAUUCAGCAUCGAGUAACCUGUGCUGGAAAGGAAGUCAGGCACAAACACAAAAUAAAACAUCCGGCUUAUUUUCAAAAUAAAACUUUGUGUUUCAGCCAGAUUGUAUUUCACACCAUGCAAAUGGGCGGAGACGAACAAGUGAAGGUUUAAAGACAGCAUCCCGAUGACACCAUGGAUGAGAGGAUGCUGAUUUUAUAAGUCUAAAAGUAGAUUUCCUCCUUUGGAAGGGCACAAUCUAUUUUUCAUACGGUUAGCAUAUGUGGCUAAGAGACAACUCGUUAUCGAGUGAUUGCACAUGAAUCCACGGGUUCUUGUGAGUUCUCGUUAUUACUGCUGUCCAUAAUCCGCAGCGAAAUUCGUCUCACAAACUGAUCCAGUAGGAACUGGUUUAUGGGAAAAAUCGCUUCCGUUCCCGAUCGGAGCUGUUCCGGAUGCUGUGGAAAUCCAGGAUAAGGUUGCUCAAGCAGAAGCACUGUACAGUUUAAUUAAUUUUUCAUCUGUUUGAGACCACUAUCCAGGGUCAAUAAUCACUGUUGGCUCCUCCUCCUUCAUUUGUUGUAAACAGCACUUGCUGAGAGACACAGUAAGUCCCUCCUUUUUAAUGUAGACUGAUGUUCAACAUUUUAAACACAAACCUUCUCAUGGUGCUGUUUUGCACAGCUGGUUGCUGUUGCUUUCACACUAUGGUUGGCUAUUUGCCCUAUCAUAGAUGUGACAUAUUUUGCUAUCAGCCUAUCAACUAUCUGCGACUAAAAGCGUUGUGUGCUGCUCUCUUGAAAUCCUAGAAAAGGCAGGGUUUCCCCGAGGAUAACCUGCAUUUUUUAUCAACACUUCUGUCUGACAGUUAAUCCAACAAGGCUGAUGUCUUUGAACUCAUCACAAGCGGAAAAAAAUGGUUUGACUUUUUUCAGUUCAGGAUGACAUUUAACUUAAAGCUCCAGUGACGAUUUUUAACUCAUCAUGAAACAGACUGGAAAUGAAUACUGACACCUUUUAUGACCUCCGGAAGCAAACAAGGCCAUCAGUGAGAAGAUUAAUAAUUUCUGUACAUGAAUCUUCAAUGCUUGUAACCACUGCUGCAGGGUGGAUGUCAAACAAAAUGAGUAAUGGCACAUUGAGGAAACAGUCUGUUUUAAUUUUGUAUGGCAGAUAUUAAUAGUGACAGCUGAUGAGACCUUUUUAUGAUAUAAUCUACAAUUAUGUGUACAGGGCAAAAUCAACAAAGACAUUUAAAAGCAUCACUUUGUCCUUAGGGGGCGCAAAAGCAAACAUUCCUCCACAAACUGCUUUUCAUGCAAGCUUUGACUCUGGUUUAUAUUGUUCAUAUCAUAGAUUUAAAGUAUAAUUAAUCCGAAUUGAAGAUUUCACAGCCCUCAUUUUAUUAAACCACUUGUUGCAGAUCAGACCUCAAACUUGAUGCAAAAUGAACAUCUGACGAUCAACUUUGUGUCUUUGAUAUUGUAUUACUCAUAAGAAAAGAUUUGACCCAUCAGCUGUGGAGACGAUGAUGACAAAUCCUGAAAAUGUGUGUUUGUACUUUAGGGUGUUGAUAGCAUCUGUGCAAAAUCAGUUUUAUUCACAUUAUUUACUGUGAAAGAACUUGCAGACACUGUAGUGAAUAAAAAUCUGUGAGUCACAAUUCUGCAUAUAUUACUCAGUGUGUUUGUAUAAAUUAAACCAAACUACAAAUAAUUUAUCACACUAUAAAUGUGAUUUUUUUUAAACAACAUUUUUGCACAGCACAUUAAUAAACCAGAGAACGGGCACUGUGCACAAGCUCAUUACACAAUGUGUGCUGCCAGAACAAACUAAAGUAUUCCUUAAUGUGCGGGGGAACUGCAUCUUAUUUCCAUUAACUACAGUACAGUAUAUUCAGGGAAAAAGAUCAUGAAUAACUAGGUAUAAUGAGGACUAUAUGAGUUUAUGUAAAACAUAUGAUAAUGAGUUAGGGCUGAGCACUCAAGGGGGGAAGAACAGGAAAAGGGAGUAGGACAAACAAGAGAUACGAUGGUUUCAUAUUUAGUCCCAGGACACAGAAUCUGUGUUAAUCUUUUCUUACUAACAUCUUUGGUGAGACCCUCAAGUUGACAGAGUGACUCAACCAGAGAUUCACCCAGACCUCCGACUUUUUCAAUUAGUUAGUUUGAAGGUCAGAGCCAGAGUUAUUACUCUUCCUAACAGAUGCCAUUACAGCCUGUUUGAAUGAACAUGUCAUUAAACAGUCUGAUACUCUUUAUGGAAAUCAUGAUAUUUAAUAUUCAAAACGAUAAACUGUAUUGUCUUUAGCAAAUAUUCACUCAGUUUGAAUCUGAGGACAUGAAUUAUUAAAGCUUUAGAGUUGAAUUCUUUUCCAUUCUUGCUUGAUGCACCACUUCAGUUGUCCAACAGUCCGGGGUCUCCAUUGUGGUAUUUUGUGCUUUGUAAUCCUCCACACAUCUUCAGUGGGAAACAGGUCUGGACUGCUGGCAGGCUGGUCUAGUUGCUGCACUCUUUUCCUAUGAAGACACGCUAUUGUGACAUAUGCUGAAUGUGUCUUGGCAUUGCCUUGGUGAAAUAAGCAAGGACAUCCCUUGUCACGUGGAACAAUGACAAUACAGAGGAAAACACAGGCAUAGUCGUAAAAAUGCAGUAAUGGUGAUAGGAGAAGAAAAUGCCAACAAGGCAAGAGUUCUUACUCAAAAAAUUUAACAAGUGUGUGCGUUUGUGUGUGUGUGGCUCCGUGCGUUGCCUGCAGUCAGUGAAAAUGUCACUCCGUCACUUCGUCAACCCCCUCUAGGAGGUUGUUGAUGUGGAGCAACCUUGAAAGGUAAUCAGAAACCACAUUAGCCUUCCAUGAUUGGUGUGGCGAGGAGGAACACAGGUGGGCAGGUAACUGGGUUUCUCAGGUCCUUGCUGGUGAGUGGGGCUGCAAUGGUCAAAAACUGCGGCACAAACCUCCUGUACCAGCCAACCAACCUGAAGGAUUGUACCUCAUUUUGAGUGCAAGGUUGAGGACAGUUUUGGAUAGCUUCCACCCUGUCCACUUGUGGUCGCACCUCUGCCUGGCCCAGUUGGUACCUCACGGAUCUUGUCUCUUGCCCACUCAUACUUGCAAAGGUUGAGGGUCAGCCCAGCUGCUGGAUUUUUCCAAAGACUAAUGCCAGGUGUUGGUGUUGCUGAAGACCACCACAUCAUCUAGGUAUGCAGCACUGCAAACAGCAGGAAUGGCAGCCAGUGAUCUCAAUCCAUCCCUGUGCCAUUCACAAACUUACAGAGCAUCCACUUCAAGGUCUGGUUAAACCUCUCUACCAGGACUCAGUCUGUGGGUGGUAAGGAGUGGUCCUGAUUGCUCUGCCAUCUACAGGAGCUGCAUCAACCUGGAGGUAAAGUUGGUUCUUUGGUCUGUGAGGAUCUUGUCUGGUACCCCCACCCUGGAGAAGAGCUGUACCAUGGCACGCACCACAGCAGGCACAGUGAUGGUACAUUGGGGAAAAGCCUCAGGGAAGCGGGUAGCAUAGUCAUCAUACAUGAUAACUCCUGAUGACCACCACUACUUCUCACCAGGAGCCGAACAAUGUUCAUGGCAACUCUGCGGAAAGGUGUGGAAAUGACAGGAGGGCGACAGAUAACCUUACUGACAUCAAAUUAAAAAAUAAAUGGAUAUUUGUCGUUACAAACCAAGUUUAUGAGUUUAAACAUUGAAUAUCUUUUUAUACAUUCAACUGAGUAUUGGUGGAGAUUUUAUUUUUUGAAAUUGGGGUUUGUAUUUUUGUUAAAACCAGUGAUUUAUUGGGCUAGGAUAUAUAUUUUGUGUUUUUGUUUAGUGUAAGACAUUUGUAUACUCUACCAAAGUAAUUAACUGAUAAUUUAGAGGUCUAUCUAGAUGGUUUGUUUUGAACAUAUUUCUGCAUAAUCCUUUCUAUUCCUUGGGGGAAAUGACACUAACUUCUAAGCAAUGUACCUUACAUCUACAAAUAUGGCUUUUUCGUUAAGGAAGAUUUCACCAGUUUCUGUUUGGCUGUGGUGCGGUAAAUAGCUAUAAAAAAAUCACAUCAGGUGUAUAGCUUGAGUUAACUCUGAAGUUAUCAAUUGGGUGUGAAUUUUAAAUGCCCUGAGAUGCCACAAAUAUGAGGCAUUUAGGGAAAGAAUUAUGGACCUUACCGAUUUCUCAAUCGCUGUGGAGGCUCUGGUUAAAUCUUACAUUAACACUUAAUGAUCACUCAGCUCUGAUUUAAGGCUUAGAUCUUUGCCUCAAAACUUGCCUGGGAACGGUCAGUAUCCAUGCACUCAGCAGCAGUGGUGUUUCAAGCAGCAGCAGCAGCAGAUACUCAUUUGUUAUCUCACAUGAACAGGUAACCUCUGCCCUAUUUGGUUUAAUCUGCAUGAACCACGAGAUAGAGACAAGAAUCUUUUCAUCUCAGCAGAAAAUGGACAGCUUCAUAUUUCCAGCAUCUUAUCAUAGAAGACAUGGACAGAGUAAUAAGAAAAAAAAGGGGUUUGGGGCUGAAACAGAAACAGAAAACUCUCCAGGGAGACAUUUUCUCCACCAAUGCCAAGAGCCGGGAAGCAGGCGUUCCUUCACAGCUGGAAAGAAGCAUAAUUGGUCAUUUUCACAAUCAUUUUAAUUAUUAAACAUGAUUUCCGCCCCAAAAGAGAUAAUAUCAGCCUCUUAAAGACAAGAGUGAAAUCCAAUUUUCCCCCGGUCCACAGGGAGAGGGAGGAUAAGCCAAGAUGCACACAUUGUUAUUAAAAGUCGAGCUGGCCUCAUUUCGGCUCACGCUGAACUCGGGGAUGGCAGAGAUGCACACUGUUACGGCCUUGUUGUCGUUUGUCAUUGGCAGCGCUCUCAGGGGGAAAUUGGGUUGAGAGGACCUCUGCUUUAUAGUCACAUCCAUCGCUGCAGUCAUUGUUAUGGGGCUUCACUGUUGCAUUGUAUUGUUUUUCUGUCAACAGAAAAAUAUCAAGUAUUUCUGUUUUUCUCACAGAUGUAGUUUUCUUUUCUUUUCUGUCUAUGAAAAAUACUCAAUAGCGGGGGAGAAAAACCUGCUCCUGCAGUACUUUUUAAUGGGGAAUUCUGCUACUUUAACACCAUGAUCAUAUGAGGGUCACAAAGGACCCCAAAAAGUUUCAUGGUCAAAAUAACAGUGAGGUGAAAAUCUAACAUUGUGAUGGCCCUAAUCCUGACACAAAUCAUCUCAGACACUUAGCUUUAAACACUUUAACAAAGCUAACUUUUAUGUUUAUGGUGUCAUUUUAAAAUAAAGGUACAUCUGAGCACUUUCUUCCUCUAGGAACACACUUUUGUGUAGCAGAGCCUUGACAGGCCUGGCUGCAUGUGAGGACAGACUCCCUGUAGCAGAUGGGUAAUGUUCAUUAUUGUUGGUGUUUGAAAUAGCAGGGAUCAUUAAUUACUCUGAGAGGUCCCUCUGCAGCUCCCCCAGUGGAUCCAUCACAAAUACACUGAGUUUAACCUGGGCCAGACUCUAUUCCCUCAUCACUAUUACCAUUAUGUUAGUCACGUCUGAUGGAGCUGAGCCUGAAAUCAGACUGAGCAUAAUGAGUGAUUUAAGCCCUUCACCUGUCAGACUGUCACUGUUGUAAUUGUUUAUCUGCACAAGUGACGCAUAGUUGUAUUAAACAGUGUGUGCAGCAGUCUUAACACAUGACUAAUCAGCUUGAUUUAAAGCACAAGAUGCCAAAAAAUGAAGACCGUGGUACAUCUUUGGCUUUGUUUAAGAUUUUCAACCUGACAAAAACAGGAAGAAAGGAUUGCCUCAGUUCUUAAAAAAAAAAAGUGAAAACAAGCAACUUUUUUUUUUUUUUCCUUUUCAUUUUAUUAAACUAGUGGUCAAAUUAUUUUGGAGUAUUUGGGCCACAUUAAGAGAAAAAUAAAUAAGACUACGUAAUUAUUUAGGAGAAUAAAGUCGUAUUAAAGUAAUUACUUACGAGAAUAAUGUUGUAAUAAAAUCAUUACUUACAAGAAUAAAUUUGUAAUAAAAUCAUUACUUACCAGAAUAAAGUCAUAAUAAAAUCAUUUAUUAUGAGAAUAAAGUCGUAGCUAAUAGCUAUUCUAACCUGUUAGCUGUUGAAAUGAGCACUGUGAAGCAUUUAGAUAAAUUGAACUUCAGUAGCUAGGUCUCACAAACAAGGAGAUAAAUUCUUUGGCGUUUCAGCAUCACAUUGUCCCAAGUAUCAGGACAUAUGCAAGAAAUGCAUCUUUUCUGCAGAAAGAACCAGGCGGACUUGUAGGGAAUCGCUGUUUUUGGCUGGAAAUGGGUGUUCAGAGGCUAAGUCCCUCAAUGCAGCUGUUUAUAGCAAUAGCAUAUGGCUUUAGUUUAUCGUAUGAAUCGAUAUGCCAUAAGGUGUUGGUGCCUCUGCAGGUGUAGGUUGCUGUAGGUGUUGUGCCAGCAUCAGAGACAGACAUGGUGCUCAUCGGAGCUCGACUCCCUCUGAAUCGCAAAUGUUGAUCAUCAGUUGGAUUAUUUCUUGAGAAACCACAAAAUCCCUCUGAGUGGCCCACUGAUGCACCCAAUAUGUGCUAACUGCUCUCCAUGACUGUAAAAAAAGCUGAUAUUUUUACCUUUCAUACCUUGCACUGUCUAAGCUGAUUUGUUGCUGUUUCCUGUUUCAUUUUUUGUUAUUUUGCUUUUAAACUGCACUUAAUGCUUGCAACCUUGUCCCACAGCAUUUGUGUGUCCUCAUACAGCGCAGCUUGAUUGACAGAUGCUCAACCAUCAGUCAUAGUUAAACUCUCACCUUUCCUGACACACACUCUGUCAUUUGAUCUGCUCAUCCUGACUCCAAUGCUCUCCAUUCAUACACUUCUAUUUGCAGAUCAUUAUGCAAAACAGUGUGUGUUUAUCCGCCGACGUGGCAGCGAGCUGUUCAUAAACAGGCAGUCACCUAUACUGAGGACAAAUCCAAUCUUGGCCCCGCACAACAUAUCAGUGAUUUUAAAUGGAGAAUUAUGUGCAACCAAGAGUUAUCUAUGAGUCAAUUUGUUCAGGCAAACGUGUUUAAAGUUAAGAUUUCAGUUUGCCAAAAUUAAACCAACAGAUAAGGGCUUCCCUCUAUGAGGGGAAAUGUUUAGCUGGCAGGCUGCUGUGAGUGCUUGUUAUAUGAUAGGGCGUCACAUUGCCUCUUGUUGCAUCAUUGUUGCCUCUCAGUGCUCUCAUCAGACACUAAUCCAUAGAUCAAUAGAGUGUGAUGAGCCUGCUAAUUAGCCCCGUCCAAUAUUUGAACUCAGAGUAACAACAGAGACGACAGUGUGACACACAUACAAAGCGGUUAUUCGUCUGCAUGGCUGCAUCCUGUUACAGCUCUUUUUGAAUACUUUGUGUGAUGCAGCUUUUUUUAAAUUUUUUUUUUAUGAGUAUAAAAAUGUUUUGUUUCUGAACUUUAACAUUUGCUGAUAAAAACAUAAACAGUGAGUUCACUCGUGUGUCCCAAUCAGAUAAUUGGCUGUAAUGAUGCAUGAAAACAUUUUAGCAAUUCAAGCAGCAAUUACAUGGUUCAAGCAUUCAUGACACAAGCGUACACUCCCAGACACAAACACCAUGGAUGUCACAAAAAGAGCUGUCGGCUGCUAAUGUUCUGCAAAUUUUACAUUAACUGUUAUACAUACUCUACAUUACAAGAUACAUAUAACCAACACCCUUCCCUGUUCAUAAUUUUAUUCACUUGUCUCAUUUUAUAAUGUAUACUAUAGUUAGACGUGGAAAAAACACACAACUAUUUCAAACACCAACAUUUAUUUGACACUUACUGAUUAAAGUGAUUUACUACCUUGAUUUCGAAAACCUAAGCUGCAAAGCACUGGCAUUAAUUUAUCAUAUCUUCCUUGGAUAUCUUGUUCGACAGCAUAUUCCUGACUAUUUGUGCAAAGAUCCCUCAAAUCCCAAAGAAACAGCAUACUCUCAGCUUCUUCUGCAAAAAUCUUAGCAAACAGCAUGCUCUCAGCUUUUACUGUGCAGAUCUCUGAAUGCAACAUGCUCUCAACUUCUUCCUGCAAAGAUCUCAGCAAACACCAUGAGCUGAUCUUCUCCUGCAAAGAUCCCAUACAACAAUUUGCUCUCAGCCUCUUUUGCAAAGAUCUCGGCAAACAACAUACUCCCAGCUUCUCCUGCAAAAAUCUCAUCAAACAGCAUGCUCUUAGCUUUUACAAUAAACAUCUCAGAAAAUAACAUUCUCUGCGCUUCUCCUGCAAAGAUUUCAGCAACCAGCAUGCUUUAAAGUUCUCUGGCAAAGAUCUAUGCAAACAACACGCUCUCAGCUUCUCCUGCAAAGAUUUCAGCAAACAACAUGCUCUCAGCUUCUCCUGCAAAGAUUUCAUCAAACAACAUGCUCUCAGCUUCUCCUGCAAAGAUCUCAGCAAACAACAUGCUCUCAGCUUCUCUUGCAAGGAUCUCAUCAGACAGCAUGCUCUUAGCUUCUCCCGCAAAGAUCUCAGCAAACAGCAUCCUUAAAGGUUCUCCUGCAAAAAUCCCAUAAAACAGGAUGCCCUCAGCUUCUCCUGCAAUGAUCUUCUCUUAAAGGGCAUGCUUUAAGGUUCUCCUGCAAAGAUCUUGGCAAAAAGCAUGCUCUUAGCUCCUCCUGCAAAGAUCUUCUUUUGAAGGGCAUGGUCUUAGCUUCUUUUGCAAAGAUCUCAGCAAACAACAUGCUGGCAGCUCCUCCAGCAAAGACCCAUUCAAAUUACAUGCUCUCAGCUUCCCUUGCAAAGAUCUCAGCAAAAAACAUACUCACCAGGGGUGGGAAUCACUUGUGGCCCCAUGAUAUGAUAUUAUCACAAUACUUGGGCCGUGAUAUGAUAUCAUUGCAAUUUUAACAUUUUGCAAUACAGUGAGUAUUGCGAUACUAUAUAUUUAUAUUUAUACCAUUUUUUAAAACUGUUUAGCUAAUUUAGCAUUUGGCUGUUCUUUAUGUUUGUCUUUUUGGACUUGAAUCUUAAUAUUAAGGAACAGAUCUACUGUGAUGCAGAGUGGCAGUAAACUGUGGGAGGAACACAGGUGAGCAAGUCUAUUUAAAGAGAGGGGGAGGAGAUAAACCAGCUGUAUUUGGAAAGGUAAUAUUCCUCCUUUAAUGGUGUCUCUAUCCCUGAGGGGACUAUUAUUGUAUUUUUUAACAUAAUGUGAGCAGCUGAUGUGCAACACAUGUCAGCUGUGUAAAUUACAUGGAAAUACAACAACCUGUGACCUCUGGCACUCUUGGAUUUACAGGGGAGUCUUUAAUUUACAGCCAUAGGACAGAUCCCGUCAGGCUGAAAAUCACUGAUGGCCUUCAGGACUGACAAACUGCCAAAUGUUUACAGGUAAUACUAAUCCUGUACAACCUGGGCUACAGCUGCCACAGAAGAGUCUGAAAAUUGUGUAUUUGUGAGUACCUGUGUGAGUGUGGCGGAAUGAAUUUUAAUGAGAUUACUUCCCUCACCUUCCAGGAUGAUGUUUUUAAAAUUCAUGUGGUGAUGCAGGACUGAGUGCUGAUACUGUAAGUCAUAAACUUGAGGAGACUUAAUCCCACCUGCUGGCCGAUCUCUGUGAGCUUCUCAUUAUAAAGAAUCAAAGAUUAGAAACAAGCACUGCCUCUGUGCCGCUCGCCACACUCUUUUCCAUCCUCUCUGAAUAACAGCUAUUGAUCCUCUUAUUUCUUCUGCUCAGUGAUCUUAAUCACCUGAUCCCCCUGUGUCUCUCUGUCCACUACAGCUGCACCUCCUGAAGGGCUCACUGCUCAUUUUAUACCACUUUUAUCAUAUAAUGGCAGUGUUAGUCUUUUUUUUCCUUACUUUUUAACGAGCCUUUUCCUGUUGAACUGUGGUUAUUAAACAAAGGUCUCAUUUCAGACACUUCCUGUUUCUGUAAGGCUCUCUGCACCUCCAUCUCAUAUACACACAUAAGCCCUCUGACCCCCCCAUGUGAAAACACUGCAGCAAAUCUUCCAGAUAACUCCCUGCGAGUGGCAGUGGGGGGGAGCUGGCAGGGAGUGUCGAUGUUUACCAGGCAGCGGGUGUUCGGUCUAGUUUUGCUACAAGGUUGAAAAAUGCUGCUGUAGCACAAAUCUAUAACAGAGGGAGUCUGUUUAUAAAUGUUUUUAUAUCAUAGUGAUGGGAAGAACCGUUCCUUUUAAAGCGUUUCGGAGCCCUGUCCUGCCGGUGCGGUACACGAGUGAGCGACACAGUGGCGCUGAUCAGGAUGUCUUUCAUUGGACAAGUCCCUCCCCUGCUGCUGAAGUCACAGUGUCGUUCACUGGGUGACACAUGUGGUUCAUUCGCCAAUUUGUAAAAGAAGAAUCACUCCCCUGCCCUGAAAUACUCACCUCUCUGUGUAUCGCCGAAGUUCGCAUCAACACAGCAGCAAGCAGCACGCCCACUAAACGAGCGCGAGUCCUCGUUCUUUUAUAUCGCAGAAAAGUGGAGCGAUUCAAAAUAAAUAACAAUGCAGCUGUAGCGGAGAUUCUGCUACUUUUAAAGAUAUGCUGAAAUUAAAUCCUUUUCGUUGGAAAGUUUAUAGACCUGUAUUAAUGGAAAGGCACUGUAAUGCACUGUUUUAUCUUAGCCUACGUUUAUCCUCACAGUGAAGGAACUGGUGCUCGGCAAUUCGUUAACGACACCAUGCCCCUCUGCCUGUCUCAAGUUGUUCGGAAGUCGUCCAUUUCGUUUACAGUCUGACCGAUCAGUUCCACUCCUGACUGGCACACCAGCCUUGUUGCUGAGCUCACCUAAACUGAGAAAGGAACGAAUCAGGUCUCAGAGUGAUUCAGUUCACGUUGUUCAUUUAGCAGUUCCGUUCUUUUGAAAGAAACAUCCACAAAUUACAUAACACUAUUAUAUCGUGAAUUGAGAUAAGCGUGAGAGGAAGUCACAGUUUGGUACACUAAUAUGAAACUUCUGAUUAAGAAUUUUGGGAGAGUUGAAUCUCAGGUUAUAUACCACAAUAAUCUGACCACCGUGCAGACAGAGCCUAUUAGCUAACACGAGAAGACCCAUUCACCUUCUUAUAUAUAACUGUUGAUUAAAACUUUCAAUUUAACUUGAAUAAUAACAGUUAAGUGGACUAGUUCAGUCCUGUCCUUAUAUGGGCAUGCAAUGUCUUAAUAUGACAAUUAAUUUAAAUGUUUAGAUUGUUGUUUGUGAUGAAAGACAGUGAGGAUAUUAUCCACAGCCAGUCAUGUUACCAACUGUAGUUUUAGCAGGACUGUUUUUUUAUUUGUACAAAUAUGAGUUUUGAGGAAAUUAAAUAUUUAAAUAAAUAUUUUGACACCAUUUUUUUAAAGUUAUUAGUUGACACAGUUAACAUUAGCAUUUGGUUCGUCCUAGUUAGGAAUUAUGUUUAAAACCCCCAGAUGAGAUGGGAAAAGAGAAACAUUUGCAUAAGCAGAAUUAUCAUUAUACUUUUUUUUUUUAAAUCCAAAGUGGUGUACAUUUGAGAGUAAGUGCAACACAAAGAAAGCUCUAGAUGAAAUGAAACAGCAUGAGUAAGUGCCACAAACUGCUAACAAUGUAAUUAGACGCUGUGCUAUCAUACAGUGCUAAAGGCAAUGUAAUCUUUUUGUCAUAACGUAUCAUUAUCACCCCAUCAGCAAUAACGAAAAAGAUCAGCCAUUUAAAGUCAGAAUACCACUGUCAUCAUCGUCUUCAGCAGUGCGUCAUCAGUGCGAUGGUACAGCACAGCACACCACAACCAAGUGCCAAGCUACUAAGUGGUGAGUUGCUAUACGCAGAGAGUUAUCCCUGAGAUUUUCGAAUGUGUUCUCACAUCAUUUCACUUGGAUUUUACCCGGAAAUGACACCACAGGGUUAAAGGAAAAAAUUCUGCAUUUAGUUGGGGUGAAAAACUCACUUCCAGGAAAUUUCUAGGAACUAUGUGCAUGUGUUAAAGGGGCUACUGUCACUCAAGGUUCAAACUGUCAAUAAUUAGGAGUGCAAGUGCAAAAAUUAAGCUGAUAAUUGGAUAGAUGGUGCCGCUCAGACUAAAAGAUGAAGGGAAGUGAAAAGUUUUAUGACAACAAACAAUAAAAGAGAUUUAUAAAUGUAUCAGCACUGAAAGAGUAGAAAUCAGAGGCAGCAAUGCAGAUGUAUGUGACGUCAUUUAAAUGAGAAAAAACAAAGGAUGAUAUCAUUUUUAUGCUUUAUAUGGUCUAUGGUUUGAACUACUGGAUGUUCAGUGGCACUGUAAUGUUUUGUCCAUAUUUGCAGAAGACUUGCAGGAACAAACAGCAAUCUAUGAAUUUACAAGUACCUGACAAGCCAUCAAGUAUGUUCUCUGAACUUCAAAUUUUUCCAGAUUUUUCUCCAGAUUUUUAAAUAGUCUGUGUUUGUUGUUGAUUAUAAAUCAUUGAGCUCUGAAAUGACCACAGAGCAUCAGAUUACUAACGUUUGCACGACUUAUGCCCUAAAUCAUGACUGAAUAAAAUUAGUGAUGGAGGCUGUGGGAAUGUGAUCCAUUCAUAACUGUUAAGAAACAGAUUAAGACUGUAAAAUGAUAUCACCCUCUUAAUUUUCAUGCAUAGUAAGGCCUCUUGGACAUUAAGUUUGUUUUAAGAGAUCUUAUUUUUCUCCUCAGACCCCAUAAGGUGUCAACACUAACCAUCUUUCCCUUGUAUCACAGUGAAAGUCUUUAAUGGAUUGGGUCUCAGCUCUUAUAUCUUAUGAAUCCUGGCAUGCACGAGUGAGGUUGUAAACAGUUUUAUGGCUGUAUCUCUUUGAUUAGUGUUUUGAUUCUUGUCUCUCUCAUAAAGAGAAAGAGGGAGGGUGGAUUUCAUCACACCCACAUCCUCUGCGAAGAACACUCAUCACUCAUUAAAAUCAAAAACACUGCCAUCAUGUAGACUGCUACUUGUCACUCUCUUCAUUAGAGUGCUAAGAGCACAGAUGGGGAGCUUCAUGACGAGCUACUAUGGCAAAAACUGAUAUCCCGUCACCACGGCGAGCUGCGAGGAAGUAUUUAUCUGCAGAGAAGAGCUCCAUGGAGGGCACCAUUACCGCCGCACACUUGAUUGUUUCGGUGUUUCCUCUCCUGCUGACUCCAACAGGUCGCCAUCCACGUCUUGAUUUUAUGACCCAAGUUCCUGCUAAGUCAUCUGUAGUGGCUCCUCCAAUCACAGGGGGAGAUUGGACAGCUUGAUAUUGACUCUGUAAUCAGAUUGCAACCCUCUUAUGUUCAAGAGCCCCAGGAGUCCCAACCUAAUGUUCCUGAGUUUACUCCUACCCCCCAAAACACUCCUCUGAUUAAAAAUCAGGGGCAGCAGCUACGUUCAUAUCAGACGAACAAGACAAGCAGGGUUUUUCUGAUGAACAUAACAUAGCAUAACAUCACAAGUAUCACUCGUAUAAUUGUGAAUAUUUUAUGCUGGAACCAUAAAAACAAGUGUUACUGAAGCUACUUGACUAACACCUACCUCCUCACACCCAAUUUCCACCGCUGUGGAUUUUUGCCGUCCGCCAAUUCCUACCAAUUCUUUUGUGAGGCAAAUUUCGUGGCAGAUUUCAGACAGUGGGAACUCACAAGAACCUGCGGAUUUACAUGCAAUCGCGCGAUAGCGAGUUGUCUCUAUAAAGACAGCUACCUAACCAUAUUAGCAGUAGAUUGUGUCCUUCCAGAGGAGGAAAUACACUUCUUGACGCCUACAAUCCGCACCCCCCCCCAUCCAUGGUGUCAACGGGGUGAAAUAAAGUCUAAAAACCGUUGACUUGUUCGUCCCCGCCCAUGUUUGCAUGACGUGAAAUACCAUAGCCAGAUGUUUUAUUUUGUGUCCGUGCCCAACUUCCUUUCCAGUACGGGCUAAUCUGUGCUGAAUUUAUGCGGCAUGCUGUGGCGUCCAGAAAAAAUACAACCCUGGCAAAUUCAGUUGGACCACAGCGGGAUGGAAAGAACCCGGCGGAAAUUGACACAUUAACUCGAAUGGAAACAACCAGCUGUGAUCAGUGCCAACAGCCUUUUUGCCAGCCUUUUUUUCAGAAAUAUCCAAGGGAAAUGGAAAAUAAAUUUACACUUUAUCCACAAGAAUGGAUAAGUAGGCAAACAUUUUGUUAUAAAUAUCUACUCCAAAUCCAAAAAAGAUCAAAUUAAAAGUAAAAACAUAAUGUCCCUUUAGAGUCACUAAUCCACAGUCUAUUGUGGGAGUCCCUGAGCUCCAUCAUGCCCUAGGUUACUCUGGAUCGCUGCUUCAUCUACAAGCAUCAAUCUCAUCUCUAUCCAUCUCCCUGUCUCCGCAGCUCCCUCUGUCCACUCUAUAAACCAAAUGCCUUUCUUCUUUCGUAUUUAAUCAUAUUCUCAUCAAUUUUCAUGUUUAUUCAUAAAAUGUCAUUUUGUUCUUCCCUAAAGAUGGCCUUAUAUAAUAGGCCAAUCAAGUCUGUUUCAGAUUCAACCCCAAGCUACAAACCAUGAAGACCUCCAGUCUUCUAUGAAACACUUUUCAGAAAUUUAUGAGUAAAUAUUUGCAUUAAAAAUGUCUCCACCAUAUUAAUAGAUGACGAGACUAAAGACAUCUAAUAUUCAGUGUGUCUCCAAAGGUAAAAAAAAAAGAAAAAAAAAAAAGGUAAGACCAGAAAACAUCGAGGGCAUGUAGAGCUGUUAAAUGGUGUUUGUACUUGGGUGCAGGGACAAUUAAAAUAAGGUAAUUUACCCUAAAAUAACCGGCUGUACCAAAUGUAACGUAAAUGAUUGAUAUGAAGUAAUCAUGCUGUGUAUGCAGAGCAUAUUUUCUUUCGUGAUCCCACUCGAGGAAUGUCAGGAGUCGGGCCAAGUCCCAGCUGUUUGCCUCUACAUCUCUUUGGCUGCUUUAGCUCUGGAGAGUGGCCUAGUUGGCAGCUCUUCACAGGAGGAACCAGGAUCCAGAGAUCUGACCCAGCAUGCCUUUUCCCCUACAUUUAUUUUAAAGGCCAUUCCAUCAUUUGAAGUGAACACUAAAUACAGAUGUGGCUCUUAAGAUCGCCUUCAAAGCUGGAUGGUGUAACUGAGUGCCAUGCAAGGUGAAUCUGGAUGAUCCAGGGCAGAACAUUUUGACUCCACUGCUGGGUUUUGGUUUGUUUGUGAACCAAAUGGUUUCCAAAGACCUGUUACAAAGUCCAAUCAUGGAGGACCAGCUACCCAGGCUGUCCUGUAUGGGGCAUCAGCCCACAGAAAGUUGUGAUUGGUGAAAAGCUGUCUCUAGCAUCAUUUUGAAGACCGUUUUGUGAGCUCUUCGUAGUCCCCCCUUGGUAUCAUAAUGUUGUUGCCACUUACCUGGGAUCACAAGGGUGGAAGUCUAGAAAGUCAACCCAGAACCUUCUUAUCCAGUCUGGUAAAGGGCCUACAUUUCUCCUGAAGGCACCAAGUCUAUUAAUCUCAUGAUAGUUGUUGCCCUCACUCAUAAACAAGACCCCCAGACACUUGAACCACACCAACUGAAGCAAAGCCAUGCUCCCCACCCGGCAUUCCACCAUUGUCCAGAGAGCCAUGGCUUUGGAUUUGGGAGUAGCUGGCUCUCUACCCAGCCCCUUUGAUCAUUUUUUAAAAAAUACCUAAACCAAGUCUGAAUUAUUAAUGUCAUCCAUUUUGAUUAUUAUUAUUUUGAACAAUUCUGAAUCAAAGAUUUGAUCCAACAUGCUAGAUUGAAUUUGAAGAGAUUACUUGCUCUGGGAUGCAGGCUUAAGUUCCGGUAGAAAGCUUCCCAGGAGAGUUGUUGCAAUUGCUGCUUUUACAAGUGUCCAACUCCACAUUCAAACCCGCUGAAGUACUUAGAUGAAGAUGUCCGGCCGAAUGUGGGUGUGCUGGUGUGGUUAUGCAAUAACUUUGUAUGGCUAGUGGAUGACUCUGAAUAUUGGAAACAGCACAAAGACAGUCCAUAACACUGGCUCUGGGAAUAUGUAUGUUUCAGUUAUGUAUAUGCAGCUGAUUCCAACAGGACCAUCAUCUGUCUUCUUACCCAAAUGUAUGCUGCACAAGGCAGACUUCCAGAAAAGAAAAAAACAGGAAUGUGCUCAUGAAUUAUAGAAAGACAUGCAGGAAAUCGAAAGAAAAUGUAUAUACUAAAAGAGGGGAAGGUUAUUCUGGGUCACCCGCUGCACAUUGGAAAGGUAUGAUGGAGAUAUGUUGGUCUGCACAUGGAUGGUUGAGCGUCAUGGGGCUGAUGCUGAAAGUGCAGCAGACCAAGCUUUACAAGGAGUAUUAAAUUAUUUCUUCCUCCUCUCAUUCAUGCUUUAAAUUCUUCAGCCGAGGCAAUCUUUGGUUAAAUUUGCUUUCAAAUAAUCAAUUUUUGAUGUGGAUCACAAGUCCACAUUUGAACGCUUCUGUGAAUGGUUUUCAUUCAGAAUUUGAAUGCUGAAAUGAAGAAACCCCACUCCCUGAAAAGAAAUGUGGUUUUUGUGGUUCAGGUCCCAGCAUGUGGCAGAUGUAUUACAGACUUUUAAUCUUUAGUAUUGAUUGACAUUUUACUGAAAAGGUGCCUUAGAGAAAAUGUGUAUUUUUUUAACGAUAAAGGGAAUAAAUCUGGCAUCUUAGGGAGCUGAAAGCUUGUUCAAAGGUUUAUUGAUGUUAACUUUAAGAGUCAUCAGUUUUCCUUUCUUCUUUUUUUUUGUGUAUGUGCAUUCAGCAUCAUAGGACAGUGCUGUAAAAUAUCAUGUCUCUUCAAUCACAGUAGUUUAACUGCAGAGAAAUUAAAAUACAACUUCAAAUUAAAGCUACAAGUGGUGUUGAAAAGGCCCUCACACCUUGGCGUACACUCCAACCUAUUGCAACCAUGAGGUGUGGAGAUGUCAUCGGUAGUAAUAAAUGCAUACGUAGAUAUGAACAGUUUGAGAAAAGGUUAAAUAGUUGUGUAGUUCUAUAUUUAAGCAGUAGGUGGAGCUAAGGCUUACAAAACUGUUAGUUAGAAAUAAUCAUAAAAAUGCCUUUCAACGAAGAGUUCGAUAACAAUGCAUGGAUGAAUGAGAACCUACACAGAUAAAAAUGCCUUAGUUAAACAGUAAUCAGUUGGAGGUCAUUGUAAUUUUUCAAGGAGCGUUAAUUCCACUUUUAACCAACAGGUCGUGCUACUACUAUGACAAGAAAUACAGUAUGUACGUGGAUGAGUUCACAUUACAUCUCUCCACGAAAUCCUCCAGUGAGUCCAACUUGAGUCUAAUAAAAUGAUACUGGAAACCAAACAAGGAACUUCAGCCGUUGCCUGGGGUGGAAUGUAAACAAGUGUUGUGGGGAUAUUACUGACCUCCCUUGGAACAUAAUACAGCCAAAGAGCAACUAGCAACAGUUCAAGCAACUUCUCCUUAACAGUUAUUUGUGAAGAGUUACACCACCUCUGGUAAACAAACUAAAAGUCUAGAGUUCUUUUUGGGAUUACAGGGAGGUGACAAGAUUUGUGAAAUUAAAUUCGGGAGUACUUGGUGUUAGCACAUCCUCUCUAAAAACUGUUUUUUAGGACUGUGCGCUAAAUGCUCACUCGCACUUCCUACCUACCCAGCUAACGUAACAACUGUUGUACUUGUCUACACACAACAUUUUUUUUUCUGAUUCAUGAAAUGAUAAAUUAGGGACAUUUCUGGGGACAGCUUUGGCCAGGGAAAGGUCAUUCAAAGCAUGGAUUGUCCCCAGAAAUCAGGAACCUUCAGACUAUAUUUGGUAUAUUGUCUAGUAAGUUUCAUGUAUCGAUAUAGGCUGAAACUAGCUGAUUUUGUUAUAUUAAUCCAUUCUUUUAUUACUUAUUUGAAGGUUUUGGGGGAGUUGCAGAGUAAAUGAUAAAAACCUAUACAACAUCAAAAUAUUCUCUGAGCCUAGUGGGUGUGUGAAGUUUUGUCUAUGAGUGUAUAACAGUUAAAAUUGAACACACACUCAACAAGGAGAUUAGUGACUUUUUAAGGCUGGCGUCAGAGUUGUUUUUACAGUAUUGUCAUGAUUUCGGUCUUUGAAGUUGGCUCAUGCACAGACAGCAGCUAAUAUCGGAUUAUACAAAACUGCUGUUAACAGAUUAUCAUUUGCCACAGCUUUACAUAACAAAGAGCCUCUCUACAAAAGUGGGAACUAUUAAUGUCUGUAUCAUUAAUUACAGUUACAGUCUGUGUCAGGGGGAGUCACUAUUAAAGAGGCAGCGGUGACUGAUGGCUUACUGUGGUAUGCAAGGCUGCAGUAACCAUGGCCACCAGGUGGUGGUUAAUGCAAUUGUCUGCAUGAUGAAUCACCAUGGCUCCCUCCACUUGUCAUAUGACUCUGACAAACCAAUUAACCCAGUAAACCAGUUGGCUGUGUCUGCAUCCCUUUAUCAGGAUUAUAGGAGGUAAUGUAGUGGACAGUUAAGAGUGCAUUUCAAGUUAAAAGCCACCAUUAUGAGGAUGUUUUGAUAACUACACUUACAGUUGUGGUGGUGUACGAUGAAUAAUUAAAUAUAUCAAGGGCUUUUUCCAGCCUGCUGGGGUCUGCUGGUUUGUCAGGUGGACUGGUGUUUUAACUCUGUGAAGAAAGGGUGGACACAGUGGUACCUUAAAUGCACAUCGUUUUCAUUGACAGCAGGGGAUACCUCGGCUGGUUGAAGAAAGGAGUAGGAUUGUAUUACCUCAGUAAUAGUUUUUCUUACACCUUUCUGGUCUCAACUGUGAGUUAAAUGUUGUCUUGGAUGAAGGAUGUUUAUCCUCUUUUUUAUAAAGAGAAAAGAGACAAUGGCUAUUGAAGGGAUUUUAAAACCAACAACAUACAUUUUUAAUUCCAAACAGGCACAAUUCCACAUAAAAUGAAAAUAGCAAAAGUUACAUCUCAAUUUUUGCCACCACAAUUCUCUAAAAUACUUGAAAAACUCAUUAACAAAAAGGUCAGACAACUUCAUUGACAAAUGCAAAUUACUUUCAGAUAGUCAAUCUCAGUUUAGAACCAACAGAUUAACAUCAGAAGACCCAAUAGAACCAUUUGAAGAAAUAACAAAUUUAGUUUAGCAGUAUGUAGUUGGAGUAUUUGUUGGCCUGAAAAAAAAAAAAAAACAUUUGAUUCGAUAACCCAAACAUAUUCAUCAAUAAACUGGAGCAGAAAAAGAUGAGGGGUUGGAAUUAGAUUAGAUUAGGAGCUAUUUAAAUGGCAGAAAACAGUUUGUAAAACUUUGUGAUUUUUGCUCCCUGUGUUUAGACAUUAUGGGCCUGAUCUACAAAAGGUUUUUGUUUGCAAAAACACGUGCAAAUUUGGUAGCGCACGCAAACCUAAUCUACUAAUCAGGUGCACCAAGGAUUGCGUCUGUCAAAUGAGCAAAACAGCGCAAGCAAUCGAUUUAGCGUGUAUGCCUUCAUGAAUAUGCAGAAUGUAUGUAGAUCAUCAGAACGUGCAAAAUUCUGGGAGGAGCAGAUGCAAAUGAAAUCAUUUAGCACCCACAGUGUGAUCUAUCAAACUCAGAAACCGAUUGCAGUUGCUAUUUUGCGUCUAUAUUUAGCAAGUUUAAAAGGCACGUGCAAACUGGAGCAGCAUUAUGCACGGUUGCAAGUGCCAUGACAAACGCCAUGAUCCUUGUCCAAAAGCUUGUGAUUUAUUUCAUUUUUCCGGUAAUUGACAAUUUUCAUAACUAAUAAGGUCAAACACGAAACAGACGAAAACAUGUAUCUGUUUGUCUUACUGAUUUAAAAUCAUUUUUAAACCCUUUUCUGAUUUCUAGUAUAUCUUCUUGCAUCUGUUAAGCACUUUGAAUUGCCUUGUGUAUGAAUUGUGCUAUACAAAUAAACUUGCCUUGCCUCUUAUGCAGUUCCCCAAAACAAUAUAUGCAACUCCAUGGCUUCAAACACUUUGCUCUCACAAACUCUCCAUGGUGACAGCCGAUAGCGCACGCAAAAUCCCUGUUUAAAAAGGGCGGUCUGCAUCACUUGCGCUCACUAUUUUGGAUCUUAGUAGAUCAGGCCCUAAAUGUGGUGUCCCUUAGUUGUUAUCACAUGUAAUACAAUUAUUCUUAUUUGCUGAUGACAGGAGUAUUUCAUGUCUUAGGACUCUGCAAACUUUGAGAUAUAUAGGAAUCUACAGUGUUUUGAACCAUUGUUAUAUGUCUCAUAUUAUAACUGUAGGCACCAUUUAACCAUGAAAACUGUUUUUUAUUAUUUAAAUACAUAAUUUGCUGAAGUACUGACGAAGGUAUGUUAUUUUUCAAUUUGAGAAAAGUAUAUUAUUUUUUUAUUUUAAGAUGUUGAGUGUUCGCUAAUUUGUUUUUUUGUAUUAAGUGCCUGUUUGUUGCAGUCCUUAGCUGUUCCCAUGGUCAUGUGAUAAAGACUCAGGAAGUGAAGUGCAUAUAAGUUUUUUGAUGCUUUUCUCAGUAAAUGAGUGCAGCAGAGCGUCAGGUUGUUGUAUGCUGUAGGCCUUCAAGCCAACUCAACGAGUAAAACAUUUUUGUUGUCACUCAAGAGGAGUUAUAAAACAAGUACGUUUAGAAAUGCAACAUGUAAGAAAAAUAAGACAUUAGAUAGCCACUACAAUAACAGACCAUUAACUGGUUCGUACAUUGCUUUUCAACUAGCUACAUAUUAAUAUCCCUUUUGAUUUUAUUUAUCAAAGACUUUCUGGUUGAGCCUGUGAAGCUCAAAGAUCAAAUGUAAAGCCAGAGAUAAAAGAUCAAAUGAGAAUUAAAUCUGGGGCCAAAAAUUAAGAGUUUGUUUUUCUUAUGAUGCUCAUUUGACAACACUUUUUUAUAAAACCCAAAACCCUCAGAAAUAAUCACAGCUCCUUCAGAAAAAUCCAGAAGAAAGACACAGAUAAAGUUAGAGCUAAUCCAGAUUCCAUUCAACUGACUUUAGAUGUGCAGCAGGGAAUCUCCACCAUUGACUCUUGGAUUUUGUCAAAAGCAGAGGACAUUUUAAAAAUUUUAGAGCUUUGUCAGCCACACUGCCAUACGCACAGCCAUUUUAAAACCUCAUAUUCCACACACACACAAAUCCCUCAACGCUUUUCUUAGCCCUCCAACUUAAGUUCUGCAACUAUAAAACUGUCAAAGCAGACACUAUUGUUGUUCCUCAGCCUGACAUUUUCUUUUCCCUGCCCGGCCUCACUCUUGACCUUCACCACAGCACAGAGGCCCUCCAGCUGAGGGAUGCAAUAUAUUCUCUAUAGGUGCAUAUCAACUGUCAAGACCGUUUUCAAAGGUUCCUCACACCCUGAGCAGCCUCACCUGCAAACUACAAAGAGCAGGCAUUUUCAAUCACAGGCCUCAGAUGCAGUGGCCUCAGUAUCAGUAGCUCCUGGGCAUUCCUGCACAUGGCUGACCCUCAGCUCAGUGGUGGGAGCAGUUCAAAGCCGAGCAGGGACAGACACAUCUUUCCUGCUCUCACAAAUACAAUGCACAUCGUUAACCUGUGUGCAAAUGCUCCCACAGCAAAAAAAAAAAAGGAGAAGAGCAGCCCCCAGCCACUCAGGCAAUUCUGAGAAAUGUCUGUGUAGAAUAAUUACCCAGGUUAUAAAUGAUGCUGACAGAUUUAGUCAAACACUUUCUCUUUGUAGACUCUCGCUAAUGAUGAUUUAUGAUUAUAGACUGUUAAUGUGCAUGCAAUGAUUCAUCACAGCCCUAAAAGCUGCAAGACUCACUAACUCAGAUUAUUAGAUUAAUAUUUUAUAACAGUAAUUAGGGCAGCUCUGGCUGGUUGGGGAGUAAAGACUAAAAAACUGAGAAAAAAAAGCAUUUGAUGUCACUCUUAAAAAAUGAGCUUCUUUGAGAGAAGGUGUACUGUUAAUCAUUAAGACACAAUUAUUUCAACCCUUUUUGUUUCUUUUUGGUGCAGACACUAGACUUAAUGAAAAUUUGGCUGGCUACAACACUACAAGUAAUUAAGCCAUUGUCCUUUAUGUAAACAAAUGGAACAAGACUCAAAUUAUAAAAUUACAAUAAGUCUAAAUACAUUUUCUGGUGAAGCUUGUAUAUGUCAUGAAAGUUUGUUCUUAUAAUGCUGAUUUACAUCAAAGCAUUCAUGUUGAAGUUCAUGCGUUCAUGUGGGGAAAAUGUAUCAUGAAGGGGUAGUAAUCCUUUCAGGGUGAGAGUACACGUGGGUGUUAAACAGAGCAGUUAUUACCGAGCUACCCUCUAAAUAAUAGUUGUGCUAAAUAUUAAUUUCUUUUAAAAUGAUUACAGCCAAUAAAUAGAUGAAUCACAAAAAAUUAAACAUGAUAUAAUAGAAAAAUCAACAGAUGGUAGUGUUUUUCAUUGAAGUUCAUUUUUAUAGGUUGUUUUGUCAUCAAAACCCCCUGGGGAGCUCACUGUUGGUGUUAAUUGUGGUGCCCCGUGUGAGGAAAACGAUAUGUCUCAUUUCCUGGCUGACACUGUGCCAGCAGUGUCUCCUGAAGUAAAAUGCCUUUUGCCCCAUAACAAUCAAUUCUGUCUGUAACUGGGACACCAAGCUGUGGAUAAUGUCAAAAAGGCCAAAUAUUCAGCCUCUUUCUUCUCCCUCAAAGUGGUUAAAAAAGCAUGAAAAUCUCUGGAUAGAAACACUUAUUCUUGUUACUGAUGGUCUGGUCUCAGCUUUCCGUGAUCAUAUACAUAGACACCAAUGUUAGUUUCAGAUUGUCUAUUUAUCACUCAAAAGCCCUCAUGGUGGCAUUAAACCGAAAUUAAAAUCCAAAUCACAGUCUUCACAUUUGGCUGCUUUACUGUUAUAAGUCACGAUAAAAUCCAAAUUUUUAUUCACUACAAUGUAAUAAUAAUUUUUUAAGUGCUUUUACAGGGUCCUUCUACUUGUAAAGUUUCUGUCAGUAAUGUCAUCCCUCUUAAACUGGUUCCUUUUUAUGGGAUUUUUUCAUUUUAAAUUAUGAUUACAGAUUACUUGUUCAGUCUGUCAGCAUCACCCUAGGAUUAGGGCGUUAAUUUAAACCGGGACUUUGAAAAAGUUACUUUCAAUUAUGAUUAUUUGCGGCAUUUCAAUAAUAAAUUGCAAGUCCAUACUAACAGCAUUAAAAAUGUCCUUACUGUUGUGCUAAUUUUUAAAUUAAAUGAACUCACAUAAAAUUCAGAUAUCUGAUUAAUUUAUUUGUAUCUUUUUAAAGCAUGACACUCAUACACAUAAAAUGAUAUGACAGAGUACAUUGGCGACAUAUUCAAUCAGUGUCGAUAUAGUCAUUCUGAUCAUUUUGAUAACUCAAUGAUGUCCAGGGAUUCCUGGUUAAGGUGAUGGCAUUUGGACUUUUCAGGAGUUUCAGUUUGAUUGUGUUACUUUGUCAUCCAGGUCCUGAAUGCUUGGAACAAAUAUACCCCAUAUUGGUAGUGGGCAAACAUGAGGACAGACCCUCAGCAGGGUACACACUACAAGAUAAUGGAGCUGAUUUGGGGCUCAAUUAUCUCCUGCCAACCAAAGCCAACUGAGUCCUGAUUAUCUGGCACUUUGAAGAUGAUCUCAUCACAUUUUCCUGUGGUCAGUUAUAUUAAGAGUGAUUAUACUGACCCAAACAUUUUCAGCAUUUAUGAUCAGAUAUUAGUCGGGCAAGUGCACCUGUAACCAUAACUCAUGAAUGGUAGAUCAAACUUGGAGACUUUGUUGAUGUAUUGAAGUCAUUUGGCACAAAGUGCACAUUACUUUGACUUGUCAACCAAGCCGUCUGUUUUUUUAUUUUUUUUAUGUGGGCUAUAUGACGAGUAGCAGUGCACUUAUAGUGUGCUACUAAAAAUAAAUAGAACAUGAAUUCAGUUUCAUCUGAUAUUAAAGAUGACAAUCCCAAUUAGAUCACUUUGUUUUUGCAGAAUCUAAGGUUUGAGUCCAAACACCAACCUUUACAACAACAGACAUCCUAUCUAUAACACAGGGGCUCCCUGAGGAUCCCAAAGGUUCUUACAACAGACAAAGGUGUGCAGAAGUUUAUGUAGUCUUGCUCUCUUGUUUGAUUAUUUUCCCAGGUGAGCUGCUCCUUGUUUGGACCGAGAGUAAGAGGUAAUGUCUUUAUGAGAAAGGAUUUAGGUGUCAGACCUAAACAGGCCCCCUGUGUGUACACUCAUGCUCAUAUACAUCUCUCUCUACAUCAGUCUUGUUAAUUUAGCAUAAUUAUCACUGGUAUGUUGCCUUAUGAGGCGCUAAGGAAGGGCCACAUGAUGAGGUUGUUCUCUUUUAUUCCUUCACUUCCCUGGUUUUUAUGGCCUAAUUAGGAAGGUCCUGGGGGAGAUUCCUCUGUGCUGGCACAUGUGAAACAGAGACAAGGAGGAGAAAAAGAGAGAGAAUGCAAGGCAUGUAAGGUAGAAGCAAAGUUGUGGGAGUGGGGGGAUACCAGGGGGAAUGAGCAGAUAGACAGCCAAUACAUAAGAGACAGUGAAGAGAAAGUGAUGGAGAGAGAGGGGCUGCAUGCACUGUUUAUCAUACAUCUCAAGCACUGUACAGGAUCCUCGGAGGGCCCAACACCUUCAAACCUUUAUCACACACUGCCUGCCUGGGGCUGUGGGUGUGGCCAGGAAUAGGAAAUAACAGCAGAGGACACAAAAACGACUUUUUACCUCUCCAAGAAUUCUCAGACACAAGUCAAAAUAUGACUUUUUUUUCCCCACAGAGAACACAAUUAUUUAACAAAACAUAACCUUUGACCAAUACAAAAGUGGAUCAGGGCCACUUAAGAAAAAAGAAUUACAAUUAUUAAAAUUCAUUUUAGGAAAUUUACGUUUAAGCUGGAUUUUAAUUUAAAAGAAUAUUCUAAGACAGAGGAACUACUACAUUUGCAGUACACAUACAAAAUACACAAGAACUCUGAUUGCAUUUCCAUUUGUCAGGUUUCCCCCACAAACAAGCGGCUGCUGGAGGAGAGUGGGUGAGUUGUGUUUAGUCUCUUUGCUAAAGAAAUCAGGCAAAAUUAAAAAGAUGUUGGAUGGCUGGUACUAUGGCUGGGACCCUAUAUGUACUGUUGAUGAUGUUAGGGUGCUGUUCUGAGCAUUAUUUGUGGUUAUAGAGUGGCUUUUUGGUUGAGGUUUGUGCGUGGAGAUGUAGCCCGUUGUGUAUUGCUUUCAUGUGGUCGUUACUAAAGUUGGUAUAACUAGAGAAGCAAGCAGUCGGCAACAUUCAUCUCUCGAGGGGGUGUCCAACUCGGUGUUGCGGUGUGUUUGACCAUGGUUUAAACUUACGCCAGAAUAUUCCUCUAAUGCUCAGUCACGUUUUUAUAUUGACCCUACAUGCAGUUUACUCAUGCAAAUUACAUUUGCAACUUGCUGUUUUUAUAUCAUAGGCUUGAAACUGACAAGUGCAUUGAAUGGAACAUGCAGAAACUUGAGAUGCACGGCAUCACGUUGUGCUGUGUGAGAGCCCUCUGUCUCCCAUGAUCUCACUGGGACCUAGAUUUUGCUUCGAUCUUUUCCUAGUUCAUUCCUGAGAGAAAGUAAUGCUAACCAAUGAUGCAGUCGUCUGCUUGUGGAUUUGCUGGUGCAUACUCUCCAAAUAAUCAUUCACCCUCCUCCCCCUACUUCUCACAUGGCUUUUUUACCAUCUGUCCCAAACAAAAACUGAGGUUUAGUUGUAUGUUUUCUCUCAUUCCCUUGAAAAUCAACAAAGAAGAGUCUUCCUGCUGCUUUUGUUGCUCAAACUUGACUGGUUUAGGUUCCUGUUUCCUCCACGCCACUGUGGUAAUCAGUAAAGGUGGCAUGUGGCGUUUCAGUAUAUAUAUAAUGAACAGCACUGCCUCGUUUCCCAAAGAGACCCUGUCUGUAAUUGAGUUGGGCUUCUGCUAGAAGUUUUACAGUAUUUGUAUUGGUUACUACCCUGACCCGGGGUUUUAAUAUUUUUUUUCCUCAGCUUAACGCGUUUCCACCCACACCACUACGGAUUCUCAGAGUAAAUUAAUUAUGUAUUUCUCACAGAGUAGCCAUGCUCAGUGUGCUUUCUCUCUCAGAUUAGCAGCGGAUCACCAGACUCUCCAGUCAUUAAACAUGGCCUGCUUUCGCAGCAUUGAGUGCCAAACUACAGGGACUCUCUCUGCGAGUGGAAAUAUUCAGAUCUGAUACUAUGCAUAAUGAGGGAAAAACAAGUCCAUAAAAAGGACCCAUCCUCUAAUUUACUCUGCUUCCCUGCCCUCUCUUUACUACCUUCUCUGACUGUUAAAUAAUUCAUCAAGUUUUGUUCAACUAGUCUCUCUUAAUGGCCAUCAUGUCAAUCUUUAGAAUCCUGCUGGUUGUGUUGGGCUGCUGCAGCUGAGCGCUCCUAUCUUUUCAUCUGGGGUGCCAGGAGAGAGGUUUACACUGUGUGUGUGUGUGUGGGUGUGAACAUGUGUGUGCUUGUACAUGCGUGCAUGCUUACACCCAUUAGGUACAAUACAGCAAGACAUCCAGGCUUACAGUGAUGGGAUCGAUUCUUUUCAUCAUGUCCUGGGAAAUUAUUGAUUUUUUUCUUCAUGCCAAACUCUUUGGACAGUGCUCACAAUUAGAGAGGGAGAGGGAGGAGGUGGUGUAAGAGCAGAGAGUAUGGCGCCCUGAGGCUGUGGAUGCCUCCCCACCUCUGCUCAUGGAGGACAUAUUGAAUAGGGUGUCAGGAGAAAUCCACUCGGCCCAGUGCUGCAUCCAGACAUCAGACUGAGGUGGUCCCAGUGUGGCACUGGGUUCUUUAGGAGAGGCUGGAGCACAUUCAGCUCAGCCACAAGUGAUCGAAUAGAGUUUUUUUUUAUUUAUUUUUUUUACUCUAAUUGAUCGAUUUUGGUGUGUGUGUGUGUGUGUGUGUACAUGGGUGGGUGGUUCAGACUGAUCUUUUGAAUUUCAUUGAGAAGAGGACCUGCACUGUUUUAAUGAACAAACUCCCCCAGGCUUUUAAAUAGCAGGUUUCAGUUCCUGGACUGUUGGACAUUAUUAGUUUAAUAUCUUAAAAGAGACUUUCAGCCUUUAAUUCAAUAUAGGUAUCACUGGCAGCAGGUAGGGCUGCUGAAUUUAGACAAAAAAUUAUAACCACAAUUAUCCUUAUUGAUGUUAAGUUCAAUAUUAUUAAACGCGGUUACUCAUUAUAAGACAUCUGCAUAAACUAUUCACAGAAUUUUAAAACUUUUAAAAACUUAAACACUCAGAAUUCUUUCAAAUAUUAAAAAAGAAAAACUUUCUUUAAAAAAAAAAAAUAAUUUGAACUGUUUUUUUUUUUUUUACUUCACUGGGAGCUGACCGUUCGGCCUUUUCAUGCCUUCCUCUAUAAUGUCAAGAGUAAGGCCUAUAUGGACCGAUUACUAUAUUAAAAAAUGCUGCUUCUCUUAUAAUAAAUGGAUGUUUCUUGUUUUUUUUAAAGCAGAGUUUUGAAGCACUUCCCACAGUCACCUUGGUUAGUUAACUAACAAGCUUUCAUCCUGCUGUUUUUAACACAGAAUUUAACAUUGAUUCCAAUGGACUGUGUUAAAGCAGACAUAAAUUGAGCUUAAAAUCACCUCUUCAAGCAGACUGGGGUCAGGUAUGACUGUGUUUAUGCUGAUACCGGACAUAUGAGUCCAGUGUAUUCAGAGCUGGACUUUGAUCUGGAAUCUGAUACCCUCUUAGUAGUCUAGCUUGCAGGAAAACAAGGUUUUUUGAUGGCUAACCAAUGAUACGUUUAGAAUUUAUAUGUUUUUCUUGAGCUUCUUAUACUCUUGUUUUCAGGAUUGAAAUUUUGAUAUCAUUUUUAAAAUUUCCAUGUUAGAAAUGUGGCUUCUCCUUAGAUCUAGACCCCUGUGUUAAGUGCUGCUGUACAUGCUAAACAGCUAUCAGAGAGUUGUGAUAGUUGUCAUUUUAAAUGCCUAACCCACGUUGAGAGAGAUCCUUGUAUAUAAUCAGUAACAACAUGUUGCAUUGAUGCUCUCACUGAGGCGUCAACCAGCUCCUAAUGUGAAAUGAGAUUGCAGGCCAGUCAGCGUCCUCCUAAUGAAUCAAAGUAAUAAAUGGAAUUAGCUGUAAAUGGAUCUGCUUGUGAUGUGAUAACCAGCAGUAAUUUAUUCAACAGUAAUAAUCAUCUGCUGUGAAAUUAUAACAGCGGUAGAAGAGACAGGGAGCUCAGUUAGGGCAGGCCGUGAUGACAUGUUCAGCUCACUCAGGGACGAUGCGAUGUCAGCCUCAAUCUAGAUCCAGGACAGAGGAGGGAGCACCUGUGUGGAGCCUGAACAGUGUCUUUUUAAUGACCCACGCAGGACUGAUCUACAGUCUUAAUUCACAAGAUACACGGAAUAGAAGUUUCUUCCAGAAGCGUUGACGCCUCCCAAAACAAAAGUGCACAAAACUCUUGAUUUUUUCAUUCAAUAUUUGACUUUAUGCACUUAAAGCUAUAGUGCGUAACCAUAGACUGUUUAUAGAAUGGACAGCGUCUGCCUCCUCGAUGGGUGAAACCACUCCGUGAACAGCACCCUCUAGCGAAAGGCUGCAGUAUAGGUCAUAAAUCCCGCCUCCGCCAGCAAAGCUUAUGGAGCUGUGGACAAACUUCAGAAAUUUAUUACACAGAACAUAAUUUUUCUCCCCCCUGCUUGUGAUGUUGACAUGUACUUAUUGUAAGACUGGUUUGUGCUCAAGUCCUCUAUUUUGCCAGACUCCGCAGUUGAUCGCAAAAUUUCUAUUUUUUCUGGAUGUGGGAGCAUGCUGGUUAAAUUCAGCACAGAAGUGAAAGGUUUAUAGGCAGCAUUUCACCCUGAUGACACCAUGGAUGAGGAGAUGCUGAUUCUAAAAGUCUAGAAGAAGAUUUCCUCCUCUGGAAGAAUACAAUCUACUGCUUAUAUGGUUAGCCUUUAUGGCUAAAGACAACUUGUUAUCCACCACGAAAUUCGCCUCACAAACAGAUUCAGAAGGAAUUGGCGUAUGGCGAAAAUCGGAGCCGUUCUGAAUGCAGUGUAAAUAUCGGGUUUCACACUACAGUUUUAAUGCACAAGUGGUCUGAUUGACUACAAUGAGAGUGAAUGCGUCUACUGUUAGUGUAUACAUUCCUGUGCAGUUCAUCAGGUCAUUCUCCUGAAAUAUUUGACCUUAGAGGGAUAUGAUAUUCAGCAGAGCAGGUGAGUGAAGUGCAGCAGAUGAGAGGAUGAGCUGCAUGGAGAGUCAGCAGGAGGACGGGGGCUGUUACUGCAGCAGCAGUCUGACUGAUGAAACCGAUAAGUCAUCAGGACAUAUUCAUAUGCUGAUAGAGAAAGGCCUGAGUUCAUGGCAAAUUGCCUUUGGAUGAAUCGCUACCUUGAAGCCAUGUGUCACACACACUCUUAUGGACAGAGUUAUACACACUCACACCUUGGAGGAGGGAGCCUAAACUUUAAAUCUGGUUGAUUUCUUGCAGGGUCAGCAGGCCUGUGCCUCCAAACCUUUGAUGAUAAAUGACCAUCCAUUCACCUAAAAUGGGAAUCCUCUCAAAGAAAUGCAGUAAUUGACUCAUUUUUCACAAAGCGAUUGAACAGGAAGAAGUUUCCUCCUGACAGGACAGCCGAUCAAACAGAACUCUCAGCCAAGGACAUCCGCAGUUAUAAUUGUCCCCCGCUGCCUCUGUUCAGUAUACAUGAGCAAUGUGCUGUGUAGGCUGAGGGUCCUUAUUACAGAGGUGAGAGGAGCAGCAGCACACAGCACAUCGAUGGUCUUUAUGGCGGUUAUUCUUUGGCAUUGUUAAAGCCUUUUACUUCUUUUCCGAGAAACACUUAUACAAGGUCUCCUUUUCUAUGAAUUCACGAGACACUAAUACAAUUGAUAAAUACAAGACAUACAACUGAAUAUCAGUGUAUGGCCUGCGUAUUUGACAUUUCCAUUCUUAAGGGGAAUUCUUGAUUAAGUUUUUCUAAAGGCACAGUAAGGAGCAUUCAUAUCACGGUGAUUGAAAUAAGAACUGUUUUUCCAGUGUGAAUACUGGAAGUCAUCUACCGUGGAAAAGAUGUGCCUCCCCUGCUUUUACUUUGUCACAUUUUCCCUUGAAUCUUCAUCACUCAUUACUGAGUUUUGUGAAAAAAUCUUUUAAUUAUUUGUAAGUGAAUAUAUUAGCUUUAAUUAAUGGAAAAUUAGAGGUUAAAAACUGAAGGUGGCAGUAAUACAAUAUGCUAAUUAGCAUUAAAAAAACACCUCCUGAAUGUUCACACACAAGCACCAUCAUGACCAACAGCACAGGCUGUUAUGUAAAAGCCCCCAACUGUUUAUGUCUGAUCCCAUCCACACACCACUGGGUUUAGCCAGCAGGUGCGAGUGGGGUCAAAUGUCUUGCCCAAGGGCACUUCAUGUGGACAGCAGGACCUGGAAUUGGUCUUCCUGUUGAGGGACAACCUGCUCUAUCACUGGGACACAGCUGCCCAAAUGGAAGGACAAACCAAUCGUGACACAGCUGCCUGAGUUAGAGGAUCUUGUUUGUAAUAUGGAAACAGGAAUGAAAAAGAACUAAUCUGAAGAAAAGUGAGGAAGGAAAUUGGAUUGUAUUUUCACAGUAUUGUCAAUCAUGUUUGAUGUGAACAGCUUGAAAUUACAGGCAGAGCCCCUCCUCUCUUGCAUUUACUCAUGUACCAGGGCACUGAUGUGGAAUUAAGCAAGUAAAAUAAUUUGAAAUGUUUCCAGAUAAUCCAUUAUUUUAAUAUCAACUACAUAACUCAGGCAGUUUUAAAUUGAACUGAGUUCAUAAAUUUCCAUGUUUAAGACUUUCAGAAUAAAAAACUUGGUUUGCUCUUGAAAUCUAGCAUGACUUAAUAUCCCGAGGACUCUUUUUUUGCAGCAUCCAUAUCUUUUGUAGAUUGUUUUUACAAGUCCUCCUCGAACUCCAAGACAAUAGGACAGAUAUGGUUGCUGAUAUCUCUUCAUAUCCAGUCAGGUCUGCUGUCUUGAAGGAUCUCAACAGCUUCUGUUUGGUCUCUGAAAAUGAGAAUCUCUUGAUCAACAGUCCUGGUAAGUCUGGCUAUGGUUAAGGAUGUCAUACCUCAGGUCCUUUUUGCACAGAUUAAUCCACAGCUGCAGUUUAUUCAGGUUGUCCUGAAAAUGCCUUUCCUGUCCUUCCAUCUCUGAAAGCAUCUGGGAGGGUGCCACAGGUCCGGGAUGGGCAGCAGACUGAGAUGGGCAAGGCCUGUUUCAGGCACCAGUUCUGUGUCCGUUUGCCCAAACAUUUGUCAAAGAAUCUUUUCCAGCAGUGUGAUUAAAUCAUCUCCUUCAGGCAGACCUGUUAAUAUCGAGUUGUUUCUUCGACUCCUGGCUUCCAGAUCAACCACUUUUCCCUUGAGGUGAUGGACAUCUUAGAAAAGACCCUCAAUUAGAGGUGCAAUCCAUAUGUCUGGAACCAAUUAUCAGUUUCAACAUUAGAUAUCUUGUCUUUGUAAUGUUUUCCAGUGGAUAUAGGUGGAAAAGGAUUUGCGAAUCAUAUUCUGUUUUGAUUCACCUUUUACACAAUAUUCCAACCUUAUUUUAACUGUGGUUUGUAUUACGACAAAGUUUUCGUAUGGCAUACAGUGACAGAAUUUUGAGUUAAGACACCAACAUGAUGUAUUCCCAAAUAUCUUGUUGUAUAAAGCUAUCCAAAUAUCUUGCCUUUGAGGGAUUGGAUUACAUCAGACAGCGGUGAUCUUCCUCUAAUGGUGCACUGGAGCACAUGGGGAUCCACACAGGAGACACAGGUACACUAGUGUGUGCACGGCUCAGGGCAUGCAUUCACAACCAGCUUUUAUAUGCAGGGAAGAAAGAACAAAGCGGGCUGUUGCAGAGACACACCGGGUUUGGAGCUUGGCAGGGAUGCCCUUGGCGACCCGUACACUUCCUGCAUGCAGAGCUGCCAGCAGCUACUUUGACUAAUGACCCCUGGGCCCAGGAAAAGUGAGCAGCUCUAGAUGAGCUAGUGCUGGAGGUCUACUGGGACUCCGCGGCUCAGUGGUUUGGAGAGGGAACAUCCUCGUAGCUGCAGCGUAGCCGGCGGCAUUCAGCGGGAAAUGUUAGCCAUGUGAGUUAAUUUCCUUCCACCGCCGUGCUCCUCUCCUAAUUACUUUUAAUUUGAACAACCAUUAAUCUUGUUGAUGUUUUUAUUUCAUUCGUCAAGGUGGAGUGGACUUCAUUACAUUUACCACACUGAUUUGCACAUCCCAUGAGAAAAAGUGUCAUACGUGUCUCUUUUGCAAGGCCUAACAAUGCUACAGGGUGAAUGACACUGCGCAGACCGUACUGAUCAUGUACUGCAGACCUGUGGCAGCUGUUAUGAUGGAAAAUAAUAUCCUCUCUGUCACUCUGGGUUUCUUUUCCCCACAGAUACUGUCCAGGAAUGAGAACAUGAUGAAUAAAGACCAAAAGAGCAUGGAAUACAGAGCAGGAAAAUAGUGUUAAUUUGAAUAUUUGAAUAAUUCUAUAGAGGACAUGCUCAUAUUCCCAAAAAUUUCUCUGACCUUCCACUCUCCUCUCUUUAAAGUCAAACUCACAGCGAAGUGCAUUAUUAAUUAUUGGAAAUCAUAAAAGAGGCGAGCUGGAGCUCCUUUGGAGUUAAUUAUGCACAUUACAUUCAAGCUGCAUCAGCUCUCACAGAGGAGAAACUGAGAGCCCAUGCAGGCUCCCCACUUCAUGCAGGGCUUAGGAAUAAUGAUUUGUAAAAUGGUGUUAAGGACACUCGUUUUGUCACUGUUUUCUAUUUGCAUGAUAUCUAAAAAAAAUAAUUUAAAUUCUUACUCAAAACAACUUUUAAAAAAAUGUGUUGCUAGUAGAUAUAGAUAUAGUAGAUACGUGGUGCAACGUAUGGUGCCAUUACUCAGUGAAUUUAGCAAAAUGCUAAGCAGCUUCUGUUUUCAGGAGCUUUUAACCUAAAGUAACUUAAAGUUUGUAGCGUAUUUUGUCUUUACCUGCAGUGCCGUAAUACAUCACUGUUGCUUAUUUGGUAAGUACGUUAAUCAAACAGUUGUCUCAUUACUUGCAUUACUAUAAGUUCUUUAUCUAUCCAUGCAAUGAGCCCCCUAGUGGCCCCUAGUUUCUAGCAAUGAAGACCGCACAAGGCAAAUGCUUGGUCCUUGUGCGCCUGGCCCUGAGUGCAGCUUUUGAUACAGUAGACCACAACAAUUUAUUGGACAGACUGAAGCACUAAGAUGGGGUUUUUGGUACAGUUUUAGAGUGGUUCAAGUUAUUUCUGACAAACAAUAAGGUCUCUGCGUCCACAAAUAUUUAUGGUGUGCCACAGGGGUCUCUUUUAGGUCUCAUUUAAUUUUCCUCAUACAUGCUCUCCUCUGGGGCACGCCAUGGAUAAGCGUGGUGUUUUAUUUCAUUGCUAUGUAGAUGACUCUCCUGCUCACUCUACCUGAUCCUGGCACUCUGAGUUCUGUACAUUUUUUUCUGUUAGAGACUUAAAUUUGGAUGCCAGACUUUUUUGACUGGGGUGAUCCAACCCAGGGACUAACUUAUAUCAGUGAAGUAUAUGUAUUGUUUAAUCAGUGUUCUAACACUUUCCAUGAAGUACGAUUUAACAUGAGUCCUGCCUUUGACAAAGCAAUGGAGUGGUGUUAUGGAGUUUUUUCUGACAUAUUUUUAGGACAAGUAUACUGUAUUUAAAAAGAAACUUAAUAUUUUUUACAAGUUAAAAACUAGGAUUAAUUAAAAAAAAAUUAAUAAAAUCAAAAGAAAAUGAAAAUUAUAUUGAGCGUGUUAGUAGUGAACAUGUUGUAGCAGAGACUUUGAUUUUCUCUCUCUGGAAACAGAGGCUCAUGCUGUAAAGACAUAAAUAACUGACAGGGUAUUGACAGUUUAACAUGCCUAGUUUGCUGAGAUUACCAUCUUGUGGGGAUGCAGGUCAUAUUUAUCAUCCUCUAAGUUUAAAAUGUUGGUCACUCACAUUGGAGCCAAAUUGAACCACUUGACCAACAUAAAGUACAAAAACUUGUAAAAAAGAUGUAAUAUUGUUCUCUUUAUGAUAAAAAGUAAAGAAAAAGUACAAAAGUUUGGGUAAACCAAGCAACACUAGUAAAACCAAGUUAAGAUUUUAAAAUUUGCAGCUAACAAGGUUCUUAUUGACCAGAAAGCCAACUUCAUUGCCCCAGUAGUGAUGGACUUUUACUUUCAGAGGCAGAGAAGUUAUCUUUACCAAAAGUGAACAAAGAAUGUGAAAUUGGUCAUAAAAAACAUAAAACACACACAGAAAACUUGGUAUUUUUGAAACUAUCUUUGUAAAUCUCACAUGUUUACAUCUGCAUGCGAGGGUGACUGAUAUCUAAAAUUAUAACACAGUAAGUCUUACACACUUGUUGCCCUCUGUAACAUCAGUUAUGAAGUAAUUACCAUGUUAUGUGUCUUCGCGUGGAGUCUCGUAUUCACUUGUCCCUCCGGGUUGAUUGACACUAAAGAUAUCUUCAACUAAUUAAGCUGCCAUUGUUGCAUCUGUGUAGAUCAAGGCGCUGUGAGAAAACCCAGAAGCAAAGCUGUGAGGGGAGUUUUUGUCCCUGAUCCCCUUCCCUUUGUGUGUGCUGACUUAAUGGAGUUGAUAUUAUAUCAAAAAUCUUGCAGUGUGUAUCGCCCCUAACCUGUUGUCGAGGUGUGUUGGGGUCCUUAACACAACAGAUGGAGCUCCUGGGGUGUGGGUUUCUUUUUAAUUACUUUGCCUCCAUAAGCAAUUUACAUGUGAUAAGGUGGCUUACAAGGCCCACCAAUUAAUUCUCACAAAUCCUUUUUAAUUAAUGGGAAGUGGAAUUCAGGGCACAAGGAGAAAAUUGAUUUAUAGCUGCUACAACUCACAGUAUUUAACCUCGAAAGCCAAGAGGAGUUAGAACCAAACUUUCUACGAUAACUUAAAGUCUAUCUAUCCACCUACUGGGUGUUCAUGCUAUGAUUACCCUGUAAAAAGGGCCCUGUGGUAAGAUUGUAUAUAAAUCUCUGGAAAAAAAAAAAAAUAGAUACUUGUUAUAUCUGGAAUAAUGCCAGGAGGUAUUGCCCAGGUAAAAUCUACAUAUGAGAAAACACUGGAUGUCCAUUAACAUGUUAUUUUUUCAAAGCAGUCUUAUUGAUGAAAAGAAAAAACAAACAAACAUGCAAUUGUUCCUUGGGCUAUGCCUGUGGCAGCUUUGACCUGGCAUGGUGGCUGGUUUGGUUCAGAAAUGUGCAAUACUUCCAACAGUUAAGUAAUAUCAAAUUUGGUUCAGGUUCUCACUACAAAAGAAAUAAAUUCUCCACAGUCUGAAUAAAAUUGAACCAAGACUCACUUUCUUAAGCAUACUCAGUAUGGUUAUUUGGCUUUCACCAGAGUUUAACUAAAAGUUUUCACACCACAGCAAACAAACUUCAGUACUUUGAUGAACAGACUCAUAUUUUUUUAAUUGAAACAAACAGAUUGCACCUCAAAGCACCCUAAAACUUUUACUUGUAUUAUGACCAUUUGUGCAUUGUGUUACACAGUUGGUUGUAAUACUGUUGCUGAUUGUACACAUCCUGUCCCACACAGAAUCCAGCUACUGAAGUAAUGCCUGAACUAUGCUCACUUUACUUUGGUUCGGCAACUGAUAAGUUAUCAUCCAAUUCUCCAAAAAUGACAAUUGUGAUAGUUUUUUUACUGAUAUUAUAUAUUGUUGUCUGUGGCUGUCAAUGUCCUUGUCACAUAAUUACUUUUACGCGCUUGGUGCCUGGGGCCUUAAGGAGUCGAUUAGCUGGUUGAUUGGUGGGUUUGUUGUUUCAUGUGUUGGUUAAUUGGUUCUUUGAUAGGUUGGUUGGUUUAUUGCUAUGCUGGUUGGUUUCAUUGUUCUGUUGUUGGUUAGUUGGUUCAUUGGUUAGACAGUUGGUUCAUUACUUGGUUGUUUCAUGUUAUCAUGGUGCAUUCGGUCUUCCAUCUGCAACAUUGCAAUCAAAAUCUGGCCUGACUUUGAAAACAGUGAUGUGAUUUAAAAAUCUUGUCAGAAUUGGCCUCAAUUUAUGCAGUAUAUACUGGCUUAAGAGCAGUACUGACAAAUACAUGAUUGAGUCAUUGCGCAACCUAAACACUUAACAUAUAAAGUCUACAGUACUGAUAUUUGAAUGUAAGACAAGGAGUUUGCAACAACUGAAAAAAAAUAUUAAAAAAUAAGAUUAAAAGGAUGCAAAAAUGAAAGGAAAUGUCUGUGCAUUGUUGGAUCUGUUUGCAUGUUUUUCACAAGGUCAGAAAACAAAUAGAAGAAGCCCUCUCCCCCUCCGCCCUCCCUUUGGAGUUUUAUCUCUCACUCUGUGCGUUGAUGAGUUUUCCUCGGCCUUGUUCAGUCAAGUGUAAAAUCCAGUGUAAUACAUUCCUUUUUAAUUUGGGUCGCCACCAAUCGCUGCAUACCAAUGCAGUCUAGCAAAGCCUAUUUGCAGGUGGCUUUUAGUACUUCUUUGCUUUUCAUAUCCCCCAAUGUGCUGACCAACAACACCUCUCAGGAUAUGAUAAUUGAGUGAUGAUGAGUGAAGAUGGAUCUCAUUCUGACACCGUGUGGUUGCAGGGUCAGUGGUGGUCAGCUCUUCUGCUUGAACAGCAUAUUGCAAUAUGGGUAAAGUCAAAAAACCACAUUCACAAAUACCUUUCUUAAAUUUAUUCUGAAAUUUCUCAUUAACGUUCCACUCCUGUAGGGAAUAAUUGACAUUUUUCCUACUAAUGCUUUAGCCAUGUUUGAGCUUUAAAAGUGUUGCUGGGUAACAAAACCAUUGACGGCUAUUUACUACUCAAACCCCAAUUCUCUGUGCUACAUCGCUCAGCAACAUGCAAAGAGUGCUACCACAGCAGGGACAAGAUUUCAUUUUAACAACUGUAAAAAAGGUCAGUUUGUUUUUUCUGUGAUGUACUUAAGUGUAUCUGACCGUAUAUGAUUGUACAAGAGUGUAGACAGUAAAACAAUGAAAGAUACUCCAUAUCAAAAAUAACAAACCCAACUGGACUGUCUGUCUUUCAGGCCAAACCAUAUAGGUGACUGACAAUUAAAAAGCAGCUGGUGGGCGUAGCUUAAACAUACUUGGCCAACUUAUCCCAAGUAUCCUCAUUUUACAUCAUUUUAAACCUUAUUUUAUAUUAUUGAACCAAUCAAAUUCAGCUGGGUGACUGAUAAUGCAUUUUAUGUGAUUGUGCCCAACUUUUUCUCCACUAUUUGCAAACAUUACAUCCAUACCAAUAGUUGCAUAAAUAUGCUGUUAGGAAGAUGACAGCAGACAAAACCUUGAUGGAAGACUCUAUGAAAGGUAGCUGAUGAUGGGCCUUUGACGUUAUCCCAAAUAUGUUUACAAUUGGAAAAGACCAAUGUGCAAAACUUAAGCCUUUGUCUAUCUGUUCAUGCCAUCUCAUUUGUCCCUGCUGCAAAGUUAAAUGGUUUUAGUAGUGGUUUGGAGAAGGGGGGCCUAGAACCGUCCUGUCCUGUCAUCUUAGGCCAUAGAUAAGCAUAGAGGCAAUUACAGCUUAUCAGAGAGUCCCAGAGAGAGAUGUGCAGGAAGAUAGAAUUCACUUCAUAUACAGAGGGGUUGUUAGUCAUUAUAACUGAGCCACACUCUACAAUCUCCUGGACUUGUUUUGUCUAAGUCUUGGUUUCUAAGUGGUGAUUAUGAUGCAGUCAGGAGGACAGAGGCUGGAGAUGGCAACCUUUUGAAAGAAACAUCUAAAAACAAAGACAGGGACAUGAAAUUACUCCCCAUGCAGCACUUUUCCCCCCUAAUGUUCAUUUGUCAAACUCCUUCACCGCACCAUGCAUAAACACACUCCAUCAAACACACACACACACACAAAUAGAUGUCUUCAUCUGCCUUCACACUGGUGUGUGUGUGUCUUGUGUGUGGAGUGAAGGUUGUUGCUGAGUGUGCAGUUUUCAGGGCUGUGCCACCCUGCCUGCUGGCAGAGGCCACUGAAGCCUGAAGAAUCUGUCUUCAUUCAAUACCAAGGCCCCCCAAGUCACUUUGAUAGGUCUGGAUGGGUCCUGCCUGGUUGAAUGGAGUUUGGGGGAUAAAUUAUGUUACAGAAAAGUGUAUUUGUUCCUUAGUGUUACAGGACUGCUCUAUGGUAAAUCCUACACUGGCUCUAAUGGAAUGAUAAAGUCAAUAAAAGAAACAUGAUGACAACCAUCAACAAAGGUUUUUAGCAUCCUUGUUUUUAAUGGUUUUUAACUGUUUGAAAUCUUCUCUUUAUGAUAGAAAAUGUGUUUAAGUCUCAUGAAAUACUCAUCAGAAUGGUACAAUGUAAACUGCGGUGUUCCUCAGGGUUCAGUUUUGGGUCCUUUAACCUUUAAACUGAAACAUCAUCAGGAGGCAUGACAUCAAAUUUCAUAACUAUGCAGAUGACAAACAUGUCUCCUGAUGACCCAAGGCCGUUUGAUACCUUUUUAACUAUAUUUUAGUUAUCAAGUCAUAAAUGUGUCUGUCAAGGGGGCCCUAAGGUUCCCCUUGACCCUGCUCUGAAGUUACACAUCUACAUUUGCUCUUCCAAACAUAUGAAGAAGAUACCACUCAGGACACAUUGUAACCAGCAGGUGGCAGCAAAAUAAGGACUAAUUGAACGUGAAAAGAGAGGCAUUCAGUGUCAGGCUUAACCCCGUUCAAUAUUGUGGGAGUGAGAUGUUGAAUCUAAGGAACAAGUUUGAUGCUGGAGGAGUGGUAAAUGAAACACAACAAACUCAGAGAAAUUGCUGAAAAUAGUAGCCAACCAUGAAAUGUGAUAUUUGUAGGAGAAGCUAAAAAAGGGCUGUUUGAAAGAGAUCUUUGCAGGAAUGGCAGGGAGUUUAAGAGCUUGGGCCUGAAUAGUCAGACAUCAAAGCAUGAACCAGCUCCUUAGAAGGUCAAAUUAAAUUAAAUGUGGUAUAAAUGCAAGCCAUUUGAAAUAACAGUGAUAUAAUGACCUCAUGUGUGAAACAAUAACUGUUCCAUAUGAAGCUGUGAUAUGACUGUAUCACAAAGCUGCAAUGAUAAUGAUCUACAAUGCAUGAGUUAAAAUGCAACAAUGAUAAGUAUCGUUCUUACACAGCAGUGAGUAAGAUAGCAACAGUUGUGUUAGAGACAGUUGUGUUUCCAGAACAAGGUGAAAUGUGGUGAAAUUCCCCCCUCAGGAUCCAUCUGCUAAAUAAUUGCUGUUGUUUCUUGGUUCAUUGGAGUACCUCGGGAGUUUCUCUGCUUUACUGCAAGGAGGAUGUUACACAGAGGCUUUUCUGGUUCAUAUCAAUGGCGUAUUCCAAUUUUCUCAAAAUUGACUUGUCAUAACUGAGUCUUAAUUUUGCCAAUGACAGGUCUUCCAAAAUUAAUAGCAUUUUGAGGUUGAAAUGGUUUGCACCUGUGCACAGAUAUGUGUUUAAAAAGACAGAUAAAUAGAUGUUAAAUUACUGCAAAAUGAAGCAGGUAUGCCAUCACAGCAGAUUGCACUAUUGCUGUUUCUCUCUACACCAAAGCCUGCUGAUAAGUGAUUGAUCAAUAACUAUUUGAAAGCGCUGCAAAGGAAACUAGAACAUUCCCCCAGACUAAAAUCCCUGGGGAGUCCCAUCAGCACAGAUUCUACAUUGUUAAUGAGGAUCUGUAAAAGGGGAUUAAUCAAGAUUUUACAUAACAAAACAAUUCUGCAGCCACAUAUAAAGUUAUUCCAUAAUAAAUGAGCACAGCACAAUGCACAUAGAUUCCCUCAUGCCACUCCUUUAUCACCCACAUCCCUCUGCUGCACACCAUUCAAUACUUGAAUUCCCCCUGGACUGGUUCCAAAUCAAUCACAUCGGCAGAGCAAUUAUCCUGCUCAAUCACAUCAGCCAGCUGAUCAGCUUAACUUGUCUGAGUGCUAAAUCACACAUACUGGCUCACGCACUCUCACGUACACUCACGCACACUCAUACACACACAGGUGAGCACUCAGUACAAACAUCAUUAGUUCUACAUUCUAUUAAAUCUGUGUAAUGUCAAUCUCAGAACAUAUGUUUCUUAUUUUUAACUCCUUUGCCUUAAGCGUAAGGGUCGGCAUAAUCAGUGCUAAUGGGUUUGUUUCCAUGGAAACCAGGGGAGGGAGUAAGCAAAGCUGGUUGCAUCCAGAUUGAGCUCCUUUCCUCUCUUUUGCAGGUGACUCCUCCACAGCAAUACUAUAAAAGAAUCAUCCAGACAUAUAUCCUUGUAUAUAAUAUUACUUUGAAAGGUAACUGUGUGUCAAAAAUGACAUCUGAUGAACUAAAUUCCAUAGUAACUUGAAAAGAAGACAUUUGUCCACAGUCGAGUCCAAAAGAAAAAAAAAGAAAGCUGUAAGAUGAGCAGCCUAUUACAACCUCAAUCGUGGUUUAUAAUCCAAGUACUGUCUCUGACAUAGCAAACAGCUGUGCACCCGUGGCAACCCUGGCUAUGUCCCUGGCCAUUCAAAGUCAAGAUAAAACAUUGUCAAGAAAAUUAAAAUCAGAAUAUCAAGAUUAAGUGUUUCAUUGUGCACCAAUUAAAAUCUGAGUAAAAAAUACAUCUGUAACUAUCAGAAAACCUUGAUCAAAAACAGCUUGUUUUCCAGCUUUAGGUUGCUCAACUUAAUAUAGCACAGCACAAAACGGGUAUGAUCCAACCCUACAUGCUUAAGUGGUUUGACCCUGAACCAGACGACAAUCCUUUCACUGCUUAAAGGUCAUUUCAAUUGUCCUCUAAGUGGUGAAUCAAGAAACACUAUAUCACGUACCACGCAGACCUGAAUAUAAGACAAGGAUUUAUACUCAAAUGUUAACAUAUAUCUUUGCCUAUAGAUGGUUUCACUCCAGCUGUUUAGCAACAGCAGUGAGAGAAGAUUCAAAGAUGGAGAGACAAGGUGAUUGUCCUGAACAAAGUGGCUCCAAGUCGGAGUGAGGAUACCAAUUUUAAGAUAAUGGUUAUCAACACAACAGAGUCAAUGAACAAUUGUCAAUUUACCAAGAAGUAAGUGCGGCAUUGCAGAGCACAAUGUCUGAGGAUGGCAAGCAUCAUGAACUAUAUCAGAAGUUAUCUUUUUAUGUCCCAGUCAAUACGAUACGAUGUUAUUUUCUCCAUGUUUAGAAAUUGGGCUUCUGGAAAUUAGCUGCCUAGAAAGUUGGAGGCUGAAGUGCAGGAAGGCAAGGCAUGGCUCCCAGUGCCAGAAGACGACAUUUGGCUUCCAAAGUCCUGAGCUUUCUGGGCAAAGCAGGGGAACUAGUCUUGGGGAAAUGAGUGGAGUAUUUUUGGGACUGCUUUGGCACAACUCACCAAAUACCACAGCGCACUGUUUCUCCAACCGCAAUUGGAGAGUGGCCUUCAUCUUUGAAUGAUAGGCUGGGGAUGUCCAUGAGCCCAGAGGCACAAAGAGCUGAGACCUUGCUAAAUAGAUAUAAAUACCUAAAAUGUUGACUGAUAAUGUUUCAAAAACAGAUGGAAGUUUAUUUCUAAUAUUUUAAAGAUAGUUAAUAAUACGAUCAUAAAUAUCACCAGCCUGGAUCAAGCUUAACAAAAAAAAAAAAAAAGCAUUUUUCCCUAUUUUUUGGCAUUGGAAGUUGUGGCUUAAAAUACAAAUACCUAAAUAAGGAUACAGGCAAGAAAUCAAGUCUGAGCUCAAAGUCCAACAGCAUCAUGAAACAGGUUGAAUAACACAUUUUAAACAUUACACUGUCUUUCAUUUCUGUCUAUAGCUUAAAGGUAUGGUUGACGAUCUGAGAAGCAGUUGAAAAAAACUGGGCCGUUGAGGCAGAUUUGAAAAAAGCACCAAUCUCUCCAAUCGUCAACCAUGCCUUUAAUUAUAAAUGCUCAAAAGAAGAAGCCGGCCGGCAGAAGAUCCUACACUAGCUUCAAAUAGGAUACACCAUGUUGGAUUGCUAGUGACUAGCGGCAGUAAAUGCCAGCUCUGCUAGCGAGCAUCAUCUGCAGCUGCCUGGACAGCUACCGUAUUGACAUUGCAGAGACUAAUAAGAGUUAUUUAUAUUACAUGUGCCACAAUAAAAGGCAAAAUUACCUGUUAAACAAAAAACUCUGCUGUCUCGGCUUCUGUUUUCUCCACCGCUCGAAGGAUGACCCGAUGUUAAUCCAAGUUAGAUUCCUCGCUUGGUAGCAUUUCCUCUUCGACUUUGCCCUUUCUUCUGUCGGCUUGUGUUUUCUUCCCACUUUUGGCGGUGCAGAGAUGUUUUUCUUUCCUUUUUUUUUUGCGUCCCUCUUCAUCACAGCUCCAGUAUCUAAGCUACUACGCUUCUUUUAGCCGCUCAGCGCUCCGAGGAGGGCCGGGAAAGUGGGAGGGGACGAGUCAGAACUACGGGAGAGGGGUGUGUCGUAUACAGCGAGGUUAUUGGAUGGAGAGGCGGAGCAGAAGAUUGACCAAUAUGAGUUUUUGCAGCCCUGCACCUGUUAGGGUGAACAGGUUUUUUCCACUCUUUUUUCUCUUCACUUUGUAGAGAUCGCACUAUAGGACCAUGAUAGCCAUAUCAACGGGGUUCGUAAUAAUUACCAAUCUCUCCAAUUGUCAACCAUGCCUUUAAUUAUAAAUGCUCAAACAAGAAAGCUGAAAGAGAAUACUUGAUAUCCUAAAGCAUCUUGGAAUAAACAGAUGUACUUUGUUGCAUUUGUGAAUCAAACUCAGCAUUACCGUCAUCUAUUUUGAAUUCUGCUGAGGCCCUGAAUUAAGAUGAGCCAAAAACAUACACAGGAGAGUGUGAAUACAUGACUAAGUGACAAAAACAUCUUCAUAAUCACCAGAAUUAGUCCAUGUGACAGGACGCUUCUGGCAGGUAAGCUCUUUUAUCCCCACAGUGGGAGGAAAGCAGAGGUAAAAGAUGAAGUUUUUUGAAUAUCAAGCUCCCCCCAGGAAAGAAUCACUAAUUCCUGAGGAUCUCCAUAUUUCAUACUAAAUAUUCAAAACUCUAUGAAACCUGUACCGUUUUAUCCUCUGAUCUUAUUUGGUAGCUGGUAGCUCCUAAUUGGAAAGCGAGAAAAGAGCAGCAAUAUUUUCUAAGUCCACAAGCUGGCUACUUAUCUGUGAUCCAGUCUGGGCUCAACAGUGAUGCAGUAAUGCCCUGAAGGGGCUGGAAGCCUGAAUGGGGAUACUGCAGUCCAAGCACAGAACAACUACAGAAAGCAAUGCCAAUAAAAGAGUGUAAGACAAGCUGAACACGGCCUCUGAAGCGGCCAGCUCGCAGGGGAAAGCUGCAGAAAUCGCUGUGUGUGAGCGCACAUACAGAACACGCCGCUCUAUGUUGGGGUCUUUGUUCUGCGUGUAUUCGCAGCCUCAUUAACAACACAACAGCUCAUGUGGAAGCAAGGCACAUCCUCGACACGGUUACCCAAACAAAGGUGUGGACACGCUGACCUGUGGCCCUCGCUGAUUGCCUGUUACCAGUCCUGUGCGCUCCCGUGGCCCUCUGAUGCCUGAGUCUAAUCAAAAGUGAAUCUGAUGAUGAGUUGUCCUCUGUUGGGGCUGAUUUGAUACAUAUCAGGUCACCUCACCUCCCCUUUCUUAACAGCCCCUCCACCUUCCCUGCAAAGAGAAAAAAAAAAAAAAAAAAAAAAACACAAGAAGAAAACUAAUAAUUGAAAGUGAGAUAGCAGGGCAGGACCAAAGGGCAGAGAAUUGUAGCAGCGAGCACUUCACUUGGAAAUAAGGCACAUCCAAUCCUGGAGGAAUCAGGAGUGCCGGCGCUGUAUUCUCUGCAGCCCUCCCUCUCCAUUUGUAUUCAGAGACUUGAGCUGUGUGGCUCAGACGAGAGCAAAUUCAGUUUCUCAUACAGAGACUCUACCCUGAUGCUUUUUGUACCAGCCACAAAAUGACCCCUAUUCUCACUCUCCAUGUUGAAUUCAAAAAGCCACAUCAACAACAGAAGGGCUGUGUUUGGGUUGUUCCUCAUAGUGGACAGUGUUUGCUUAGAUUGGCUGAGAGAAAGUGCAGAGGCAAUGCUAGUUGUAUAAAUUUCACUCCUAACAAAAUAACAGGAUUUUCACACUCUGUAAUCUGUUAAAGUAACAGGCAGCAAAAAGUUUUUUUCCAGUCUUUGAAAUACCCAGUAAACUCAGUGAUUCCUCAACAGGUGGACAUAAAGUUACAGCUGUGAGCGGGCAGAUGUUAAUGUCAGAACUUUUUAUUAAGUAACUUAGUAUUCAUCAAAGCGUGUUUUAACAGGAAAAGGAACAAAAACUCUUAAAAGGGACUUUAAAGAUUUAUCUGAUGCCAAAACUGAAAACUGGUCUUGUCUCUUUCGUGUGCUCACUCUGUUGAGAUAGGGGCAUGGUUACCAUUGUGUUACUUUACCUCUACUUUUGACAGUACUUUAUAAACUUUAGGCAACUCAAGACACCCGUUUCUGAUUUCUUUGUAGAGCGAAAUUUUGUCCUUUUUCCUGAUAUAGGAUUUAGGAUAUAGGAUAUAAGCAGGCCAGUUCAGCACCUGGACUAUCACACUUCUGAGCCAUGCUGUUGUAGUAUGAGCAGACUGUAGUUUGAUAUUGCCUUGCUGAAAGUAUGAAAGGUCUUAAGGUUUGUUACACAUCGGCGAAUUAGACUUCGCUAAUUCACUGGUGUGUAAUAACCUUUAGUUCAUUUGGUCAUCAUGUCACGGCAGGGCACAGCGCUGAAGCAAUGUAUGUUACAUUACAUUUAUUUACUCUGUCCUUAAUACGCUUAGGCAUAAAUAAUCAUUAGCUGUUCUGGAUCAUGUAUGGUUUCCUCAGUGCUUGAUACAGUUUCAACAGGAGAUGGGGCAGCGCCACAAAAUGAUCCAGGAGCUCAAAUUGUACCCUGAGAAAUUCCGACAAUCAGCUGACUCCACGUUUGCAGAAGGAGAAGACAAACUACAGAGAGCCAAUUGAUCCAGAGCAACAGCUUGCCACAUGUCUGAGAUAAGAUUUAUAUUAGGCUAUAAAUUUAUAAAGGAGUUCGCCUGUAAAUGUUCUCAAAAUUCCCUACAGGGGUGAAAAAUUACAGUCGCUUUUUUCGUUCUGCAGAAGUUCGUAGCUGGUGUGGAAGCUUACAUUGACUUUAUGAAGUUUUAAAAAAGGGCUAAUUGUUCACUUCGCUAAUUCACUGGUGUGUAAUAACCUUUAGUUCAUUUGGUCAUCAUGUCACGGCAGGGCACAGCGCUGAAGCAAUGUAUGUUACAUUACAUUUAUUUACUCUGUCCUUAAUACGCUUAGGCAUAAAAAUCAUGAGCUGUUCUGGAUCAUGUAUGGUUUCCUCAGUGCUUGAUACAGUUUCAAGCUGAAUAUGUGGAUGUAGGGACAUACAUAGUUCACAGACCUUGUUUUUUUGGAGCGUGAUUAAGAGCCCAUGCAGUGACUUCUACGACAGAGUCAUGUCUGUUUUUACUGCAUUGCUGCCUGAGAGUUGAAAUGGAGCACAUUAGCCUUGUCCCAUUUCUCCAGAUUCUCUGAGUCUCUUUUUAUUUGACGUUUUUACACUUUUAGUUAGGACAGCCAAAGAGAGACAGGAAAUGCAGGGAGUAGAGAGUGGGGGGAAGACAUACAGCAAAGGGAUUGGCAACAGUAACACUUUCCUGACCCAUUUUGUAUUGAAGAUGAUGAAAACUUAGAUUUUUUUUUUUCUGAAAUUGUUUAACCGUUCGCUCAAGCAGUCUCUCACAGAACAGUGAACCUCUCUAAAUCUCAGCCCAUCAAGAACACCCUUUUCACACAGAGUUGGGUUACUAGCCUGUUGCAGGUCUGGUUUUUUAGUUGGAGGAUGUCCUUUUAGGUGCCUGAAAGCAUAGCUUUGACCCCCUUUUCAGGGUUUUGCUGUCUUGGCCCUGACUUUUAUAAAACAUGAUGCCUAAAUUUAAAUUAGCCUGAUUUGCUGGUUUCAUUUAAAUUAAUGGUUAGAAUGAUUUACCAACUAUCAAAAUCAUUAUUUAUUAACUUUUUUAAAGCGCCCCAAGUUUUUGGAGUUGGGGUUGUGAAAUCAGCUGACUCAGCAGCUUCCCAGCGUUACAAUAAAAAGUCUUAAUCAGCAGAAGAGAGUUAGAAAAAGUAAGGACACCACUGUAUUAAAGUUGAUUCACUCCCAUAUCUCUGAAGCAGCUCAUCUGGCACAAUGUGCUCCACUGCAGAGCACAAUACAAAGUAAUUACAGCUAAUCUACUUACUCUAAUCACUCUUAAUGGGAAAUACAUCAGCACAGGUUAGCUGUGACCUAUGGAAAAAAACCAAGCAGCCCUCUGUACCCUCCGGUAAGGAGUAAGAGGUGGGGGGUAUCAGUGGGAGGAGGCGAGGGUGUCACCGAGGAACAGUGUGGGGAUUUGGGCAGAAGGCUGAUAGAUGAAAGUGCUAUUACAGGUCAAUUACGACUCAUUUGAGGUUUUCAACGCCGCCGAUGGCAUUACACAGCCAAUUGCACAGAUGAUGGUGGUAAUAUGAAAUAAGUGGCAGUGAAGGGGACAGGGGGCUGUCUUAGUGUCAUCCAAAGAGCCAACGGGUGGAAGACAGCCAGCAAAAGAGAGCUUAACAUAAGGAGAAACACUACCUGUGGUGUUAUUAGCACAGAGUUCUCUUUACCAGGACUUUUCUCCAUCUGUCAUGAUCCUACACAGCUGCACAUCUCAAACAUCACAGCUUGAGUUUAAGCAGUAAAAUGAUAAGAUUAUUAAUGAGCCCCGCAGCAUGGCAGAGUUACGAAAAAAGGCAUUAAUCUCUAGAAAUGGGAGGAUGCAGUUUAUUUGCUUUUGCAUGACUAAUAUGACCCCUGCUUUCUAAAAUUUGUGACUAUAAUCUUAUCAAAAGUAGGCAGCGAACACAGAUUGAUCCCAUGACACUUUUUAAAAAAAAAAAUAAAUAAAUUAUUUUUUUAAUUUCUAUAAUGUUUCUUAUUUGUUGCUGAGUACUGCCUGGGUCAAAAAUUUAAGAUCCUAAAUCCUGUACUAGGAUUUGGGGAUUGAUUUUCUCUUCCUAAGUCUAAAUGCAUGCAAAUGGAGGCUGAGUAGUAAACACAACCCCAACAUAAGUUAAAUGGACAUAUAAAAAGACAAAGCUGUUUCGUUUUAUACACGAAUGGUACUAAACUGUAGAAGCGAAGGUGUUUUCAUCGUGUCAAUCGAUGGCGUAGUAGAGGACUACCCAAUAGUAACAAGCAUAGACUGUAAAUAGAAUGGAUGCCGUCUGUCUCCUCGCCAGGCCACCCCAAGAACAGCACCCUCUGAUGACGGGCUGCUGUAUAGGUCAUAAAUCCCGCCUCCUCCAGAAAUCCCUAUGGAGCUGUGGACAAACUUUCGAAAUGAAUUACACAGAAUAUAAAUGUUUCUCCCCCCAUGGUUGUGAUGUUGAAAUGUAGUUAUUGUAAGACUGGUUUGUGCUCAAGUCCUCUUUUUUCUGUACAGCUCUAUUUUUAAGUUAUUAGGAGGUUCAUGUUUUCUAUGAUUGACACUUGAUACAGCCUAAGGGUGUACAAAGAUUGCGAAAUACUGAGAGCUUUUUUGGCUUAAAAUCUGUAUACUGGCGGAAGGCGGAACCAAGUUGUCCAGAGUUUAUACAGUCUAUGGUAACAAGCUAAAAGGGGCAUAGUCUAGUUAAAUUGCCUAGUCCCUAUAACUGUAACUCAUCUGUGCAUGUAAAUAUACUGAGUGUGAGUCAUGUUGCAUACAAACCACAAACUCUGCAUUUUCACAUAGCUUUAUUGCUUAUUUUUUUGAAAACAUAGUUGGGUUGUUGAAUGAGAAGUCUACUGUGCAGUUCACUUCUUCCGAUCUCACACUAUACAUUCAAGACUCACUAAAGUGUCAGGUUAAAAGAAGAGUUUUUGCAGCACAAGUGAAGUUCAAAGCGUCAAACCUUACCAGACGCAGGAGAAAGCCUUAAAGAGCAGCUUCAGUAUCAGACAGCUGUCUUUACACAGGAUAAAGCUCUGCAGAGCUCACCUGGGGUCUGAACUCAAACAUUUGAGGGUCAGUAUGACAUCAGCUGAAACAAAGAUGUGAAUAUGUGGCGGGUUAUCUGUCUAAUCCUUCAGUUGCUGCCGCUGAAGGUGAAAACAUGCGAGCACGAGUUCACUUACAGGGAAACACACAGUCAUUGAUGUUAGACUUGAUGCUAUCAAUGAAAAUACCAGCCCGUGUGAAUCCUCUCCCCUUAGUUCUUCCUUUGUAAGAAAAUAUAAGAAUAGAAAUCCUACCAGAGCUUGCUAUAAUACUCUUUGAGAAAACUGCCUUGAGAUGAUAAAAGAUGGAAUUUAUCUCUGCUCUUCAGGAAAUUGAACUUAUGGCCUUCUUUACAAAGAAUAAUGCCUUUCCCAGCACGUCAAUAGAGAAAGUUCAGGCCCCAGAUUAUCCUUUCUGGUGUGUAAGGAAAGCUAGAAAUGUACCCAUUCAGAGGGACUCUGAGUCAGACUAGGUAACUUGGGUUUGUAGACAGCAAGUGCAUCACAGACACAUUCAGAUAUUCACAAAGAAUAGAUGUUAAUGUCUUUAUUCAUCUCAGGAAUCUAAGAACCAUAGAUUCUUCUGGUUGUUUGAUAUGAGCUGAUGUGAGUCAUGUCAGCACAGUCAUAAGAGUAAUGAAAGUGAUUCAGUAUAACUAAGGUGAGCUGGGUAUGUGAAUGAAAACAGCAGAAUUUCUCACCCUGACUUUACCUGAACCAGGGUUUGACAGUAGGAGUGAGGCGCAGCUCAGGGGAGCCAGUUCAGGAUCAUCAGAGUUCCACCUUUGUUCUUUGCAGAUGAUGUGAUUCUGCUGGCGUCUUCCGGCUGGGGCUUCCAUCAGACAUUUGGGCUGAGUGUGAAGCAGCUAGGAUGAGAGUCAGCACCUCCUAAUUCCAGGUCCUGGUUCUCUGCUGGACUGCUCUCUGGGGUGGAGAGUGAUUCUUGGAGUCUUGUUCAUGAAUGAGGGCAGAUUGGUUUGAGAGAUCGACAUGCAGAUUGGUGCAGCUGAGUCUCCAACCCUCACCUAUGGUCAUGGUCUGGAAAGUGACUGAAUGAGAAUGAGACUACUGCAAGAUCCAAGUGACUGAAAUGAGUUUCCCCCAAAGAAGAUUGGACAUCUGAAGGGUGCUCAGAGUAGAUCUAGUGUUGCUUUACAUCAAAAGGAGUUGAGGUAGUUUGGGCAUUUGACAAAUUUGCCUCCUGGACCCCUGUCUUUGGAGGUGAUCUGAGCACAUUCGCUUGGAGGAGAACGUGGGGUAGACCCAGAGCUCACUGGAGGGAGUACAAAUCCCACAUGACUUAGGAAUGCCUUGGGAUCUUGAAUAAGUGGCCAGAAAGUGAGAAGGCGAUGUGAGUUGACUUGCCUAGACUGAUGCCUCUACAGAUAGAUAGAGACAUAAAGCCCACAGAAAAAGAAAAGGAGAAGAGUUGACACCACACCACACCAAUGCUGUACAUUGAAAGCAGCACAUGAUCCACUCCUCCAGCCUGGUGCUGUAUUAGGUCCUUACCUCCCAUAAAACUUGUGAAGUCAGAUCUCCAAAGUUAGCUGCUGAACUCUCAUUAGCAUGUUUAACUAGUUGUUCUUUUAGAUUUUCACAGAUUGGCUGCUAGAGUGUAAAUCUUGGCAAGAUUUUGGGCACUAAGAAGUAAUCCCAGUUGUCUGGCUCCACCCAGUGACACCCCAGACAGUCAACAAGCAUACAGCAGUCCAAAAAACUUAUUUCACCCUCAACCUGAAACAGCUUUAUGAUAAACAGAAUCCCUCCUCUCUCCACUUUUUUUUUUAGCUCAAAUCAGCAGAUGGAAGAGUAUCUUCAGUGUUUUCUCACAUCCUGUGUUUAAUUAGGUUUGGUUCAAAUGUCUUAUGAGGGGAGUUUUAGUAUGCAAAAUUCAGCCCAGAUGUGACUAAAAGAACUGGGUCACCCACUUCCAAAACUCCAGUCAAUUCAGAGCUCACAUGUGUGUCAGCUGUACAGAGUGCUGAGUUUUUACCUUGUUGCAUUAGACAAUUCACUUGUGUGCACAAGUUUAUUACACAGUAAAAUUAAGACCAAAGUUAUCACCUUAGGGGGCUGCAGGAGCUGCCUGCAUCACAGCGUUUUGGAUUAAGUUUGGAGUAAGUUAGCAAAUUCGUUGGACCAGUCCCACCGCAACAUACUAUCAGGCUUUUUCAAAAUCCUUGGAUUUUGACGGCACAUGAAAUCAAGUUCUCAACCUUUUUGAAUCACAACCCUUGGGAUUUUGGCCCACGAUUAGAUGCACAUUAACUAGAUUAUCAUACCAUCCAACUGGGGUCACUUCAAACUGGAAGUGUAUGAAUUAACCCGGUGUGCAGUGAGGCUUAGCAAUGACACAGGAAGAAUGUCAGAACCCUAAAUGUCAAACAGCAAUAACAUCAUGUUUUCAGUGUUUGUACUUUCCAUGGAUUCAAAAUACACUGUUUACUUUGGGCUGAUAUCAAUAGCAAUACCAAUAGAGACUUUUGGUAGUUCAUGAUAUCAAAAACUGAUAUUUGGAAAUGGUGAUGUCAAAAUGUAGAAUUUGGAAUAUGAACAAACUCCAUCAGUGAAUUUUGUUGCAACAGAUGAUUGGCUCUAAUUGCAGAUGAAUGAUCAAUAAUAAACCUUUGGCCUUGACCUGAUUCUUGAGAUUGGAAUUUGGGACCUCCCUUGGAUGAAAUUUUCAUAGCAAAGGCCUAAAAAAUAUACCUUUAUUCAAAAUUAUCUGAUGACCCCAAGCGAUCAUCUAUCUAUUGGGAUCUGGGUCCUUGGGUUGAAAUCCAAUGAGCUGGAGGACAGCACCCAGGUUAAGGAAAUAGAGAGGUACAGACAGGGUCAUAGUUUGACGAUUUUGUCAACUGUCAGUGUCCCUGGUUUUAGAGACUUUUGUAUAAACAGACUAAAAGUCAUACAAUUUUAAUCCAUUACAUAGAAAACCACUUUUCCUUUUUUUUUUCCUGUUUCUGGACAGCAUUCAGCAGAUAAUUGGCUUUCCAUAAAUUUCUUAUCUUCUUUAAUUAAAAGAACAUUUUUUAAACCAUAUGGUCAUUGCAAGAGACCUCAUUAGCUGGAGACUACAGGGGUCAGCAACAUUCAUAUAAAACCCGAAUGAAACUGACUGAAUAAAGCAGUAGGAAUUAAAUCACAGGAGGUUAUUGCAGCACUCGUAAUUCAUAACACAGAUCAACGAACAACACUGUACCAAGCAUGUAAAGAAGAAUAUUUCUAACUAAACCUAUCUCCAGAGAACCAAAGAGACAAGUCGGGCAUCCUUUUUGAGACACAACCCCUUUCUACUACUGUUAGCUUGUAUGAAAUAGGUCUGAGUAAAGCCUAAAAUGAGGAUAUUUAGGGCACUUUUAAGGCAAGAGAAAAAGAACCUGCCAGUUCAUAAUUAGCGUCUUGAAUAAUUUAAACACUUGAGUCUGAAUGAUGCAAGAAAACAUUUCUUUUUUAACCAGUUUUUGCCCAAUUUGCAAAUACUCAAUAAAUGCAAAUGAGAAAUGCCCCCCAUCUUGAGACCUUCAUCCUACGACCCUUGAUUUCACAUAACUUUGCUAUUGCUAUCACUGUUGCGAUGCGUUAUUUGCCAUUUAAUGGGAAGUUUUUUAUAAAGGGAAAAUAUUACUAGUAGAGAAACCAAAAUUGGCACAAAGGUGUUCACUGUAGUCCUAAGACGUUUAGAAUAGGUGUGGUCAGGGGGUGAAGCUUUAGAGUCAAUCUGUUAUGCCCAAAAUUAAAUAAAUAAAAUAAUUAAAAAAUAAUUAAAUAAAUAAAAAACUGCCACAGCACCAUAACUAAGCUGGAGAUAUGUGUUUUGCGCUUUGAGGGUCUCUGAUAAAGCGCUAUAUGAAAUCUGAUGCAUUAUUAUUAUUAUUAUUAUUAUUGUCUACACCUCAAAAGGGUCUUUAGAACCCAUUUGUAAAACCAUGAAGGUCCACCAUUUUCCAACUUUUGUUACCUUGAAACAGGAAGUAGUAAUUUGAAGGGGUUAAAAUGCUUGUAGAGUCACCAAAUGGGGUAUACUUGAAUUUAAUGGAAAAAUACAAUUUGAUAUGAUAUUGUUUGAUAUGGGUCUAGUAGAGAGGAGUGACUUAGUGCAUCAUUGAACCAUGGUCAGCUUCCAAAGCUCAGAAAAAUUAGCUCCCAAAUCACAUUUGAUACUGGGGAAUUUUCCUUUUUUGGGCUAAGGUCUUGUGCACUGAUUCACAAAGAGUCUUUCAGAUCCAUGUCAUAAAACUAAUCGUAAGUCUGGAGUUUUGGUUAAAAACGGCUAAUUGCCACAUUGUGCAUCCCAUAGAAGCUUGAUUGGAUUGAGAUCUGGGGAACUUGUAGGCCAAGUCAACAUCUUAAACUGAUAGUUGUACUCCUAAAACCAAUCCCGAACCAUUCACUUGGUGUCAGGGUGCUUGAUCCUGUCGAAAGAGGCCACAGCUAUCAGGGAAUACUGUGUCCAUGAAAGGGUGUACAUGGUCUGUAACAAAGCUUAGGCAGCUGGUUCAUGUCAAAAUAACAUCCACAUGAAUGGGGACCCAGGGUCUCCUAGCAGAACAUUGCCUAAAGUAUCCCACUGCCUCAUCUACCUUGCCCUCUUUCCUAAGUGCAUGCUGGUGCCAUGUGUUCCCCAGGUGAGCCACAAUGGCCCUUGUCAUACUCACUCAAAUCCCUACGUCAACUUUCAUCAAGUUUGAGGACAAAAUGUUCCCUUGGUGCCUAAUAUAUCCCACCCACUAACAGGUGCCAUGAUGAGGAGAUAAUCAGUGUUAUUCACUUCACCUGUCAGUGGUCAUAAUGUUAUGCCUAAUCAUCGUACAUCUGUGUUCACUUACUGUCAUUAGGCAGUGUCACAUCAGAGGUAGUUCCUGUCCAUGAUUUCUUUUCAACCAAUCAUAAUCGAGCAUAGCUAACAGCAUUAGAAAUAAAAGAAAAAUUACAAUCAAAAUUAAAUUCCUCUGUUGUUUUUUACAUCAUAAACACAGAAGAGACAAAGAAUUCACAGCAGACUCUGUAAAUGGAUCACCAGAUUUUUUUCUCCCUUGCCUCUCAUGCAGAACUUCUGUAAACACGGCCUAAUUUCCAAGCAGCUGAAGGAAAGACCCGCAGAAAAUCUGACUGGAUAAUAAAACUGCAAAAAGCAAAAGUUCAGAGAGGGACAAGUUCGAUGCAGGACAUGAUACAAAAGUUGUUACUGUGUUAGUGUGUCAGAGAAAUGUAUAAUUUAGUGUUAAAUGACUGAGUUUGAAAGACAGCAGCAGCAGUAGUUAGUUUCCAAGUGCUAAAGUGUGUGGAUGUACACAUGUGUGUGUAUUUGUGUAUGAGUGUGUUUCUCCUGAGGCCUGCAGACAGUUGAGCUCUGCAGUGAACUGUUGUGACAAAGUCAUUGCUCAUUCUGGUGUUUGAGCCCUGCGCCUGUUCCCACUGCCAGAGAUGAUGUCUUUGUUAAAGGGCAGGUUUCAUUAAUAUUGGAACAAAGUCAUUGCUGGCAAAGAUUAAAAACCCAAGGAAAGGAUAAAUAAAGCUUUGUUGAAUAAUGCAGCAAAUGAAUAAUUCAGCUGUGGGACACACGGCUGUGUGAAACUGGAAACUAUCUAAUGUGGAAAUUAGGAAUGUGCCUUUAUUUGUACAUUUUCAAUCUCAGCUUUUCCUGUGCAGUGUCCUGUUGGCGUGUGAUAUGACAAGCCUUUGGAGUGCUUUGCAUUGCAUAACAAGCAGGCAGAGUUCAGGCUUGUGUUUUUGAAGCCAGGCAUCAAAACAGUUGUAGAGGAGAGGGAGUGCCUGCCUAAUUAACCCAACAGCUUUAACUACGGAGGAAGGAAUCUCUGAAAGAUCUCUGAAAACACCCUUCAGCUUACACCGUGUGAGCCGUCUUUUUAUCCCACUCCGAACUCUGACAAUGAUUCAGAAAGGUGUAAUUGUGUAGUAAAUGAGAACGCGGGUGAGGCUGAUUAAAAAUCAGUGUGUCACCCGGUCUCUAAACUUCCCACUGUCACUGGAGUGUGUGAGAUACAAAUCCAGGAAAAAGUGUGUGUGUGUGUUCAGAAAGUCCUCUGAACACAGCUGACACUAAAAAAAUAGGUCACAUCUUACACUUGUUACAACAAAAGCUGGCCUGAUGAGGCAGUUGCCAUGGAAACCAUUGUCUCUGUCAUGGUGGUGUUGUCGUACAUUAUGUUUUUUCUUGACAGGAGUUUCAUUUACAUACAGUAUACUAUAUUCCCACUUCAAUGGCAUGAGAUCCAGCGAAUCUGUCGAUCUAUUGGAAGAAGUUCCCUUGGGGUCAAUUAAAGGGAUAGUUCAGUUUUUCUGGAGUUGUUUGUGUUAGUUUUAAUAGUUAGUACAUAACCUCAGCAGGGGCUAGUCACGUCAGCCUGUUUGGAGGGAAAUCAAUGGGAGAAAACAAAAAACAAACAAACAAAAAAAAAAAACAAUGAGCCAACAGCUGCAGUAGACAAUGCCAGCUUUACCAAGUUAUUUUUCAAAAUUUAAUCCAACCAAAAGGUCUGACUGUAAAUACUAUGGACAACUUGGCUCAGCCUUCCAUCAUUAUACGAAUUUGAAGCCAAAUUGCUCUCGGUAUUUCCAGGAUUUUCUCCACUUCUUAGAACCACCACUUGUGCAGUAGCAUUAUACACCUUCCACGAGAGAGUCGCUGUGAUGAUGCUCUGCUCGAACAGCGUAUCCCCGGGUGAGCUACGCAAUCUUCAUAUGCCUAUAGGCUGUAUCAAGUGUCAGUCAUGGAAAACAUGAACCCCUAAUAACUUUUACUUUUAACUUUUAAGAAUAGAGCUGUACAGAAAAAAGAGGACUUGGGCACAAACUGGUCUGACGAUAACUACAUGUCAACAUCACAACCAGGUGGGAGAAUAAAUUAGAUUCUGUGUAAUUGAUUUCUAAAUUUUGUCUACAGCUUCAUAGGGAUUGCUGGAGGAGGCGGGAUUUAUGACCUGUACUGCAGCUUGUCACCAGAGGGUGCUGUUCUCAUGGUGGCUUCACCCAGCAAGAAGACAGAUGGCGUCCAUUCUAUAUACAGCCAAUGGGUCAGACAGAGAAGGAGCUAGAUGUCAAGCUGUGAGGUUUAAGUCGUUUCAAAAUGUAUGUCUGAAAUGCGUUUAAAUAUGUUUGAAUUGUUUGACUUAAGUAACUGAAAAAUCUUUAUCUGUUUUUACCAGAUACCCACCAAAGUUGUGAGUCAACUCCAAGAAUGAGCAAACCAUUACAAUCCUUGAAUCUAAGUCUCACAGGUUCAGCAGCUUUUUGCUGUGUAGCAUAUUUAGUGGACCAUAAAAAAUAGUCAAAUUUUCGUCUCUUAUUGGACAGGAGGAUCCAUUUCUCUUGUUCACGAUGAAGAACAGCUCUGAAAGUUUCUGAGACAGUUUUAUUCAUGUUGUAAAGAACAGGAUGUCCUCCUGGAGAGAACAGAUCGUGAAGACUCAUAAAAACUCAUCUAAGAGCUGGACUGGUACAGUCCGCUCCGAGGAGAGAGAGGGAAGGGGCCCUGUGUGAUAGCCCAGCUGUUUUUUUCAUUGACUGGAUAAAAUGCAGAGAACCGAGGAGAUUCAUCUUGCCAAUAAAAACUGAAGACAGGUAAACAAAUCAAAGGGUUUUAAAUCACAGUCCAUCAAACCAUCAGGCCGGCUGCUCAUCCAUGAUAACUGCAGAAGUUUGGAGCUGAUGCUCAAAAAUCAGUUGAAAAAGUGAUAGAGAGAAAAAGAGAGAAAAUGGGAACAUGAUGUUAACUGUGUGAAGUUUACAAAAGGGUAAAAGACAGUGAAGAUGGAAUAAAGGACAUUACACACCGGCGAAUUAGCGAAGUUUGCAAAGCGAAUACUUUACUUUUUUUUAAACUUCAUAAAGUCAAUGCAAGCUUCCACACCGGCUACGAACUUCCACAGAGUAAAAAAGCGACUGUAUUUUUUUCACCACUGUAGAAAAUUUUGCAAACACUCACAGGUGAACUGCUUUAUAAAUCUAUAGCCUAAUAUCAAUGACAGACAUGUAGUGCACUGUUGCUCUGGAUCAAUUGGUUCUCUGUAAUUGUCACAAUUUCUCCGGAUACAAUGAGCUCCUUGAUCGUUGUGUGGUGCUCCGCCAUCUCCUGUCGCAAGGUCAGCAUUGGAUGUACCCAGACACUUUGAUUCUUCUUUUUCUUUAUUAUUUAAUAGGCUUACAACCAUAACCAGGUCAUCACCACUUGAGGAUAUAGUCGCCAUUGUUUCUCCUCCUUCUCUCUCCCCCCUGUUCUCCAGUGGUGUAUUUUUAUGUAAAUAUGCUUAUUGUAUUCACGUCGCAUCAGGUGUGUAUAGGAAAAGGCGUAAGAUAUUUAGCAUUUUUGUGUUGCUUUUUUUGCGUUGCUUCGCUUCAAGUCCUAAAAGAACUGGCUGCAUGGGUACAAGUAUCUAUCUACCAAACAAACAACAGUUUGUGGACUGCCAUGCAAAUGAGGGGUAAAGGGUGUAGCUAUUUUUCUUUGCUGCUCUUCGUGGGAAGUCCUUGUGAGUCACAGCCAUCUGAACAGCAAGUUAUACAAAAUCUGUGUAUAAAAGUAGAUAUAUGCUAAAACAACAGUGCGUGCUCGAAACUUACUUUGAAGAAGCUCUACCCUCCAAGUUUUCUUUUGUUUUCUUUAUUAACCUCUGAAAAUUGAACAAGGUAAAAUAGAAAACUAUAGAUGGUGAGGAAUGCAGCCUGCAUCACUGCUCUGUCUCAGCAGAUAUGGUGUAAAGGGUUACAUAUCCUAUUCACCUAACUACACCAGAAAACUGCCUUAGUGGGAGAGGCCAGGACUCAACAGGUCAGAGGAUUUUCAGAGCUCACAGUGGACGUUGAAAACCACUGAAUCUGUAUUUAACAUGGGAAAACCUUGGUCUCAUGACUCCAGCUGACCUCCGGCAGUGCUUCUCCAUGCUGCUGUCUGAAAGCGCAGCCGGUGGGUGUUGAUGGACAAGUAGGCACUGAGCCAAAAUGGACCAAACAUGAAUCUAAAGGGAGUGUAGUAUCGCAGUUUGGACACCUGAAGUUUCUCCCCUAUUUACUUCACUCUAUUUGGUGUCGUGCUUCCUAAAUAUGUCUUCUUACAUUCACAGUAAACAACAUGUCAUGGUUGCAGUCAGAAUAUUUAUGUUGGUUGUAUUUUGGUCUUGUUCAAACCCUAUAGAGCAGAGCAGUGGAUCAGUGAGCUGCAUGAAGGGAAGCACAUGUACCAUUGAGGAUUGUGCUCAGUAAAGGUCAUAGAGAUAUACAAUUGGACAUCACUCUCCCUUCUGGGCAGAGCUGUUUUCAUCAUACAAAGGUGCCAAAACUUUCAUUUGUCACCAAAUGCUCUACUGGUCCCUGUGUUUUCUGUAACACCUGUGCUGAACGUUAAAACAAACGCAGGCAAGAACAGCAAAGCUUGGUGUGUAAAAACAUUUCCCUUCCUCCAACUUCAAUAAAAACCUCCCCUUCUUUCCUGGCUCGACACCAAUUGCUUCCACUGGCGCUAUCAAAGCAGCUGGAGUUGCUUCAGUAACAUCCAAUAUUAACUCAUAAUAAUGCUGAGCUGGAGAAUCUCCAAGAUAGGACAACAAUUUGCUCACAAAGAGAUUAGGGCUACUUGUGCAGAAUAAAUAUGUGAAUAUAACAGAGUACAGACCAUUAGACAUGCUCAACACAGUUAGAGCUGCAAACAAGCCGGCAGGGCUGCUGUGUGUCACCGCUCCAUUGUCUAUACUUACUCCCUUAAGGUACAUUGCAGGGAAAUUAAACUUAAUUAUUCUGUUUUAACAUAAUGUCAUGGAAAGACAAUUACAGUGGGCUGCUGGGUGGAGAUAGAACCACCACUGGAAGCUGCCAAAGACAGAAACUUUUUUUUUUUUUUUUUCCCCUGUUUCUCUGCAUGGAUCGCUUUGUGUGUGACACUCCAUCUUCAGCUGGUAGCACUGACAGCUGGGCAGUAACUGCUGACACAGCCAGUUUUACUCCAAAGUCAUCAAAUAUGACAGACUGUAUGAGGCUGAACAUGAAAGAAAUGGAUUACCGGGGAGUUGGCUGCACAAAAAACGAUUAAAACAAAACAGCAGUUCCUCGAACAUCCACUUGAGGUUGGCCCCAGAUAAAAAAAAUAAAAUAAAAAAAAAGUGGGAUGGAUAAAUUACUUGUGACAGUGUAGCUAUCUGAGAUAUGGAAUACAACAACAACAAACAUACAGGGGACCUGCUCCUACAUAGAUGGAAAAGGGUUUUUCUAACAUGUAAUUGUUUUUAUUCAACCUUUUCAAAUUGUGUUUCUUUAAAAAAAAAAAAAAAAGAAAAGUGCCUCCACAUGACUAUGAUAACACAAAGUAAAGCUGAAAUAAUUAUCAUUUAACAUUGUCCAAAUUAUAGUUGGUAUUAUUUAAAAAACAACAACAAAAAAAAAAAACAUUUUUUUUCUGUAUUUUCAUAGACUUUUGUUCUUCUUGAUUUACUUGGAUGUAAUGUUUAAAGCUUUAAAGCACAUAUGUAAAUAGUUCUGAAAGUAGUUUUUCCAAGCUAGUUCAUUUUAGUAAGCUCUAUUGCAUCCAUAGACUAUAUAUACUAUGGACAACUUGGUUCCGUCUUUAGUCAUAAUACAAAUUUGAAGCCAAAUUGUUCUCGGUAUUUCCGGGAUUUUCUCCACUUCCUGAAACCACUACUUGCGCAGUGACAUUGUAUGCAUUUGGCAGGAGAGUCACUAUGCUAACACUCUGCUCAAACAGCAAGUCGUUAUAAGUUGUUGUAGUUACAAGUCUUUUAGUAACUACAUGUCAACAUCGCAACCAGGGAGGAGAAACAUUUAUAUUCUGUGUAAUUAAUUUCUGAAGUUUGUCUACAACUCCAUAGGGAUUGCUGGAGGAGGCGGGAUUUAUGACCUAUACUGCAGCCUGUCACCAGAGGGUGCUGUUCUCACAGUGGCUUCACCUAGCGUGGAGGCAAAUAGCGUCCAUUUUAUAUACAUCCUAUGGUUGAAUCUCAGUAAAAUAGGAAGCAUAGUUAUUUUCAUGACUGAAACAGCAUGUUUUCAGAUUAAAAAGAAAACAUUUGAAUUUUAUACAAAAUGAGCAGAUAUUACAAUCAAACGAAGUUUAUUUCACAAUGAUUUGAUUUUUAGGUAUGCAGCUGUGCAGCUUUGCACAUGUAGCUACAUCUAGAUAUUGUCAUAUAUUGUUACCCAUCUGGUUUCUCCUCCUCUGGCGAGGGUUACGAGGUUGUCACACUUCCUCAUUAUGAUCGGUCAGUAACAGAGAGGUGACGAUUAUGGGCGCAACAGUUUUCUACAAGAUGAGCUAUUUUCAGCUGAGAGCACUCAGAGAGCUGAGAUGAAAAGCAGCUGACACUGAGUGCUACGAACGCUACACUGCAUUAGUUUAGUCAAGGACAAAGGCGCUGCCAGUGUAAAGACAGCGUUAAUGGGCACAGACCCUUACCUUGCUAAUGACACACUCACACACACAUAUACGCCUUAACUAUUUGGGUCUCUACUACUCUGGUGACUAAGUCCUAAAGCAGGGUUUCUCUUAAAACGCUGCAGACCAUAAUCGGUAUUUCAAAACAGAAAUUUAUGGACACUUUUAUGAGACGACAGGGUCUAUCAAAAGUCUGUGUUUGGGGACCACUUGUAGGCUAUCCCCCACAGUAAAAGGAGCCACGAGCUGGACUGUGGUGAUCCUGAGGUGUAUGAGACCAAUGUGGCUGACCCCCCUCCCUUCAUCCCUGCUGGGAUGUUGUAUCUGUUUCUGAGACAGAGGGAAGAGGUCUUUAUCCUCAUUGGCUGGGAUCCAGGAGGUCUGUGGAGGAGGUAUAUUUGUAGUUGGUUGGUUAGAAGGAGUCUGCACCUCCCAGUGGCCUAAACCAUGAAGACAUGAGACAGACCUUGAUUUUUGUGAGGAUCUGGAUCACAUCCAGCACACCGGCAUUGCUAAAGCUGUGAAAACUGUCAUCAGAGAGCUUCUUUCUGAUCAGCGAUAUCAAGUGUCAGUACUUACUUUUAGUUGUCACUUGAUUUGAGGUGUGUUCAAGGACACCUUUUUGAUUUUUGCAACUUAAUAAAACUUUAAAUGAGAUUGUGAAGCUGUAAAAUCCAAGGAGUGUCCCAUGAGGGACAUCAAAACAGGAAGAAGGUGGGAUAUAACAUCAGAAUACAGGAGACAUAUGAGAAAAAAAACAGGAGCAUUGGAAAGUGUGAUGUGGUGACUAGAAAUAUGAGCCCUUCCAGGGACGAUUAGGUCUUGCACUGAGUUAAUGUUCUCCAUAAAGUAAAGAGAGGCCCAAAUUGGCGCAAAUUUAAAUGUAUUCUCUUUGAGCAAUAUGAGGAAGUUUAAACUGUGGAUUAUUGGUAGCUUACAGGAAUAAAUACACCCCUCCCCCCCAACGCCUUCGUUCAGAAUCAAGCAAUCAUGUUCAAACUCAUGAAGUCAGUACACACCUACCAUGAUUUAAAGUGCCUCUGAUUAACCAAGAAUAAAGUCCAGCUCUUCUUCUAGCAGGCUUUCCUUACAUUCUCUUGGUCGCCUCUUACUGCGAAGCUUUGAAAGCAUCCGCGGAAUCUCGUUGUUCAAAGGUAUCAACUAGGAGACGGGUACAAAGGAUUUCCAAGGAAUUAGAUAUAUUCCAGGAACCACAGUGAAGACAGUCAUCAUCUAGCAGAGGAAGAAUGGCUCAAUAGGGGCAUUACCAAGAACUGGACGUCUCUUCAAAAUUGAUGAAAAGAUGCGAAGCGAACUCAGCGGGGAGGCUACCAAGAGACCGACAGCAACAUUAAAGGAGCUGCAAAAAUUUCUACAUGUGACAAAAAUCUCCUGUAAUUUUCUAAAUGUCCGGGCUACAAGAAAAAAAAAAAACAAUAAAGCGUGGUUAAAUUUUGCAAAAACCCAUUUGAAUUUUUAUGAAAGCAUGAGGGGAAUAGUGAUGGGCACAGCAAUUCUUUUAGAUGUACUUAAUCACUGGAAUGAGUUCACUAAAAAGAUUUGUUUAAAAAAUUUGUUUACCAAAUCACUGAAUCAUUUAGCACUUGGCGGGAGAAGCCUGCGACUCCGACCUCCUGAACUGAUACACAGCUGAACAUUUGAGGAUUCAGUUCAAUUCAUUACUUCUGGGACUGGUUGAUGAGAGUGUUUGGCUGUGUUGCUUUGACAAAAUGAACUUGUUUAUAAGUCAUGAUGUUUAAAGUGUACUGUCCUAUGGUGUGCUAUUUGCCAGGUCUGCUUGGUAAAUUGGGCUCAGUGAGUGAUUCGUUCACUGAAUGUUUAGAAGAAGUCACACUGAACAUGCACCGUUCCCUCACAAACCACUGCAAUGAUAGGACAUGUCCUAUUGUAUUCAAGUUGUUGUGGUGGCAAUAUAGCAGUGAAAAAAAAAGUAGUUUUGUUUGAUAAAAAUGAUUCCUGAGAGUGUAGUUCAAUACGUGAUUCGUUUACCAAGUGAUUCAGGCGUUGGUGGAUGGGGUCCCUUGAUUGCUGGCUGUUGGCCUGGCAAUGCAGUUUCUCACUUCAGCUCAACUGAAUUGAAACACGAACGAAUCACUUGGGGAAGUGAUUUGGUUCAGUAUGUUCACUUAAUAGAUUUGGUUCAUUUGAACGAACCAUUUGCAAAUGACACAACACUAUUGGGAAAAUGUAUUAUGGUCUGAUGAAGCCACGGUUGAACUUUUUGGCCAUAAUUCCAAACAUUUGGCUUAAAAACAAUUCUGGAGAUCACCACAAAAACAGCAUUCCCAGAGUGAAGCAUGGUGGUGGCAGCAUCGCGCUUCUAGGCUGUUUCUCUCAGCUGGAACUGGGGCUUUAGUCCAGGUGGAGGGAAUUACAAACAGCUUCAAAUACCCGUCAAUGUUGGCACGAAACCUUCAAGCUUCUGCCAGAGAGAGGAGGAUGAAGAGGAACUUCAUCUUUCGGUGCUACAACCACCCAGAGACAGCUCUAUCUGAGACUACACAUCCUAAUGAAACUGAUAAUAAUAAUAAUGUGUGUUUGAGAAUGAUCUCACCAAUCAAUUACUUGAUGCUAUAUUAACAUCCCGAGUUCAAACAAAAUCUACAUUUCAUUGUCAGGCAGAAAGUUGUGCGUCAGCCUCCAGUUCACAGACUCUGUGUACGAUGAAGUAAUUCACAGAGAAUAAUUCAAUAUUCUUUGGUGCUCAAAAUGAAAAUUCAAAUGAGAGGUGGAAAUAAUAUUGUGCAUAUAUUGUUAGUGAGAAUAUUGACUUUAUCUGUCAAUAGAAUAAGCUCUGCUUUAUUGCCUUCGAUAUACCAGAGGGCCAUAUAUUUGGUACUCCCCUCCAUAUAUAAACAGGGAGCACAUUAUCUGGUCAGCGAGUGAAUGAGCUUUAAAUAUUUAACCCGAUCACUCUGUUGAUCUAAAUGCCAUUUUCACGAUUCACCGUCUCUGUGAGCUCUAAAAACCCUCUUUUUCCAUCUCUUGUUAAGAUUCCAGACCUGUCUCUGCAGUUUUCACCUAAAAUACCCAGGAAGAGCAUCCCGUCACCGGGGGGGUGAUUUUUGAUCCAGCACACACCACCUCGUCUGCAGUGUCACCUCAUUGACAGCGAACAGAGGAAACAACUGAGCGGCUCGGGUGUAUUUGUUGUCCAAACUACCCACUGAAUCCCCAGUGACAGUCAGAGCUGCAGGCUCCUCUCAGGCUGUGGUUAGGGACUGUUUGGAAAUGACUGUGUAGGGAGGCGGCUGAAAGGCAGGGAUUUUAUGGAGAGAUGCUCCUCAGUGCUGUUGAUAUUUCUGAGUAUUUCUGUUGACUUCCUGAGAAGACUUGAGUGCAGAUUGUACUUUGGUACAGCAGGGCUUUAAGUUAAAUACUCAUCAGUCAUCAACCUAAAAUCCCUACAUGAUGAUAAGCAGGUCUAAAAGAUACUAUUUGUCUAUAGUAAUGGGAGGAGAGGGGUGGGGGGUUGAAAAUGGGUUACGCAUGGAUUGCUAAAUAAAUGAACUUAGGCAAGGUGUGCCCAAACAAGCAGGGGUGUGUCAAGACCAUAGACUGUAUAUAUUUUGGAAAAUUUGGUCCCGCUUUCCACCAGGAUAUGGAUUUGAGGCCAAAAAGCUCUCGGUAAUUCCGUGUUUUAUCUCCAUUUCCUGAAACCAACAUUGCGCAGUAGCAUUGUACGCACUCCACCACUUGCGUAGUAGUGUUGUGCGCAUUCGGUGGGAGAGUCGCAGAGAGUUGCUGUGAUGAUACUCAGCUCAAACAACGAUCCCUUGGGUGAGCUACACAAUCCUUGGACACUUAUAGGCUGUAACAGGUGUCAAUCAUAGAAAACUUAAACCCCCAAAUAACUUUUAAAAAUGGAGCUGCACAGAAAAAAGAGGACUUGAGCACAAACCAGUCUUACUGUAACUACAUGUCAACAUCGCAAGCAAGGUGGGGGGAAAAUGUAUAUUCUGUGUAAUAAAUUUCUAAAGUUUGUCCACAACUCUGUAAGCUUUGCUGACAGAGGCGGGAUUUGUGACCUAUACUGCAGCCUGUCGCCAGAGGGCGCUGUUCUCACGGUGGCUUUACCCAGCCAGUAGGCAGAUGCUGUCCAAUCUAUAUACAGUCUAUGGUCCUUUUUUGAGUGAGGUGGCCUAACCCAAACAAAUCACUGCCAGGGUGGCUUUUAGUUUGUGAGCCCACACACCUAAAAUAUUUAUAUAUUUUUUCUUAUUGCAUCUGUGUUGAAAUACAGACCAUAUGGUUCAUUUUAACAGAAGCGUCUCUUAGGACAAGUUACAAAAUUAUGAAAAAAAAAUGAAAUACUAAAACGAACAAAAUAAGUAAAUACAUGAAUAAACAAUCAGCCUUAAAAACUAAUCCAAACCAAACUGAAAUCAAAAAUAAAAAGCCAAAAAGAAAUAAUAAACACUGAUGGAAAUUUCAAAACCAGUAUAAUCUUAUAAUGAAGCUGAUUAACUAUUUCUCCGGGAUGUGGUUCUUCUUUUGGAUUUAUCUGCUUGUGUGUUUGCUGUGCUGUAAGCGUACUCUACAGUGUCUGUUAGCUGAGAAAUAAUUACUCAAAUAUCAUACUGUGAUUUCAUUAUCAUGAUAAUAUGGUAUCAUAGGGCCACUGGUGAUUUCCAGCACCCAGUGGACUGCUGGAUUUGUACUUCUACGUGUUUGUAAGUAUAAGUAAAAUUUCCAUAUGCAUGAUUUAAUGAGGAGAAUCAAGACCUGGCACAGCGACAGACAUUACCCUGUAGCAUUACUGCUGUGCUCGUUUUGUGACGGUUUGUUCUACUUUAAUAACAUAUAUUUUUCUUUUUUCUAUGAUGUAACUUCCCCACAUUCCCCUGGAUUCCCGUUCGACUCUGGCAGGAUAAUGUACAGACCUGAAUCUCAGCUGUAAAACUGGAACACUCUCAGUUUCUUCCCUUGAUGCCCAAGUCACGCAAUGAAAGAGUGUGUGAUCAUACCCACAAUGCCCUCUGUCUCCCUCUGCCUCUAUUUCUCCAUCCUGAAUUCUCUUUCUUUACUCUCUCAUCUCAAUCAAUAAGUGUAACUCUGCCCACAGAGAGACCCUUAGGCUCCUUCCUUCCAUUGCACAGAGUUAAAGCCUCAUGGUCUGUGUGUCCACACACACAUUUACCACCAGGGUUUUCCCUGCUUUCUGCCUCCUGCCUUCCAUCCCUUUGUUUCCCUCUCUUUGUACUCGUCUUUAAAAAUACAUAUCCCUAUCAUCUUCACAUGCUAGCUGCAGAGAGCCAUCACAACAACCUCUGGCAGGUGCUUUGUUCCUUUCAUUUUUUUUUUUGCAAAAGCACGCUCACUUUUCACCGCAAAGUCCUCUAAAGUGGUCAUGCUGUCAGCGCUGAUGUUUGCCGCUGCCUCUGGAAGCAACAUUUUCAAGUUCUACAGUCGAGGUCGAACACCGAACUGAUGAGGGGGAUGCAGUGUUUUUGUUUCGAACUUUUGAGUAAUUUUUAAGUAUUUUCUCAAACGUGCUUUUUUUUCCCAGCUCAUGGCCAGUUUGGGGGCAACUCCACCCGGUGCAGGAGGACAUCAGAUAAUAUAGAAGUAUGUGGAAAAGUAAGCCAGCCUCUCAAUGAUUUACAUUGAGAGGCUGAUUUAAAAACAUUUUCCUAAAGGCGAAUGCUACUUUCCUUUUCUUACUUUGAGAUCAGAUUUUCACCUUAUGAUUGUCAUGGCCAUAGAAAAUCAAUUCAUAAAUAAAACUAUAUAAAACUUAUAAUCAUAACUGCAUCAUUACCUCAAAAACAGUUGUUGUGUUUCAUUUAAUCAUUUUUAUGUCUUGAGUUUAGGUUCACACUGUGCUUUCGAAGUACACUAGUUCACACUGAACUGAGAUAAAACAAAGGGGAAAAAGUAACCAGCAGAAAUGACCAGUGCUAUGAGCUCAUUAUUGGCACUGUAUCAGAACUUUAAAACGGACAUAUUACAGCCUCAGUUUGAUUAUAAGAUCAUCCUGGUUUUAUCACAGUGCUGACUUUUCCUCAUGUAUUUCUGGAAAAAGACCAAAUUUGACUUUUAUGGUGAAAAACUUAGUUGAUGUUUUUUACACAUUUAAAGCUCUUAUGAGGGAUUUAUUGUCUGUUUUGAUUUUAAUGUAGUUGCGUUUGGCAGCAGGUGGGCAGCAGUCUAAGCAAGUCAACCCAGACAUCUCUCCCCAGCAACAUUUUCCAACAUCUCGAGGUGUUCUCAAACCAGAUGGGAUUUAUAAUCCCUCCAGCAAGCUCUGGGUCCACCCUGAGGCCUAGAGUUGGACGUGCUGUGAACACAUCUUCAGAGAGGCAUUGGGGAACCCUGAUGAAAAGACCGAACCACCUCAAGUUAUCCUUUUUCUCUCUAAGCUCCUUCUAGAUAUCCAAGAUCAUGACCUCAUCCUUACCUGAUGCAAAUAAAAUCAUUUGUGCCAGUGAAAUAUAUGUUGAGUCAACGUUAAGAGACUGACAGAGCUGGAUUCCUAUCAUGCAAUGCUGAUGCAGAAAUUGCAUCGAAAUCCGCACCGUUGGUGUAUGUCAUCAAUGGCUGGAAGUUCACCUCCUGGAAAAUAGAUGAUAGACUGAUAGUGACAAUGUUUGGCAACCCUGAGCUACCACUGUGACUUGUAUUUUCCUAAAAACAAGAAUAAAAAGAAACUUACUUAAAGGAAAGUGAGCAAAGAGAUCAGAUUAUCCACAACAAAUCCUUACAACAUAGUUAACCUCAACUGUGUUUGAUGUAAACAGACUGAAACGGUGUGAAUAAAACUCCUGCUCUUUUUGAAUGAAUUCACAUCUUUGUGCUCUUGCAUGGACACCAUAUGGAUUUUUAAAGAAGUGACUUAUUCAAAUGAAUUAAACAUGAAAGCCAACACAUAUUACGCAUCAUACAAAUCCUUUGUUUUUUGUUAACAGUAAAAACUUGACAAAUUCAUAUCGUACAUAACUGGAGCUUGCCCUCGAAGGACUUUGUCUUUUCAACAAUGGAAGGUCAGAGGGAACCUAGAAUUUCAUCACUAUAUAUUUCUAAAUAUUCACAUUUUACACAUUGAACCUUUUAAGGCUCAUUCAUUCGUGUUCUUUUCAUCCGUAUUUCUGCAUGUAUCCUUGAAGUUUACGGAUACGGGCCAGAAAGAGCGGUAUCACCAGAAACUGUGGCGGCAGUGUCGCUGCUGACACUACCCAAUAAACAUCUUUAAAGAGAAACAAAGAAGACAAUGGCGGGGCUUUUUGAGGAUCGUCAAUUUCUCUCAUCGGUACGACUAGAGAAAAGAGUUCUUGGCCCUCCAACCGCGAGGCAUUUAGUGUCCUGACCGACCACCGUCUCCUCCGAUGCUGCCUCCGUUUCUGUCUCCUAUGCCAAAUAUACAUUAUCACCAGCUCCUCCACAGUCGCCAUGUUUCUCUUUGUUUGUUGUUGUCAAACUUUUAACUCCAACCUGCCCCCUGGGGGAUGUAAUUGUUAACGUCCAUGCCAACGUAAAGGACGCAUGGAAGUAUGUGUGGCUGUAACAGAACCAUCGUUUGAAAUGGAUGCAUACAUUUCCAUAUGUAUGGCGAGCAUACAUGAGCCUUAAGCCUUCAGCAUAGAUGUUUACCUAGCAACAUCCACUCAAAAAUACAGUAAUUUAGAUUAAUAAAAUACUGCAAUAACAUUUGAUUUUCCUUGAACAUAAACUUCAUUCACAAAGAGUCAUAACUUGUAAAUGAUGAUAAUGGAGCCAACAACUUCCAAACCUUGUCGGGGUAAUCUGCUCUGAAGUAUAUGGUGGCUUUAGAAAUAAGAAAAGAAGAUGAGUGUUUUUACACAAAAGGAUGAAAUAAAUGGUAUAUCUGUUCGGUAGUCAGGAGUCAGAUCACGUGGCUCGGAUCGGCACUUUCUCUAACUAAAUUGCUUCAUCUUUUAGGGCCUUAGCUUCAAUUAGGACCUACUUUAAGAGGCUCCAUUAGUACAUCAGGCUAAUUGGCUCUUUAUAUAGUGCUCCUACAGGGACAGAACCCCUGCUAACAAAGACCGUUUCCGGGUUGUUUCAUCUCACAUUCAGCAUGGCAGCGGUCUUGCCAACAGCACUUGUCAAAGUAUAUCAAAUCUGGAGCUGAGCGACGGGAGUCAGGGCAGACAGUAGCUUCAGGGCCUAUGAUUAAUUUACACCUAUAUUCACUUAACUCACCCCCUGUCUUCUUUUCCAUCAUGGUCUCCAUCAAAUUGAUGUUCUAUCAUAAUCAACCAGCCUGAAAUAACCUCUGUGAGCCAUCUGUGAUUACUCACGAACAAUGAGGGGAGGCUUAGUGAGAAAAAAAUAAUGAUCUGGUCAGCUCUGGCAAUCUGUUACAUGAGGAGGAAGUAAGGUUCAAAAUUUCACAAUGUCCUUUAGCACAGUUUUUCACACACACAGUUUCUUUCACUCUUUGGUUCUGGAUCCUCGAAUGACCGAGGAGCAGGUUGGCUAUCUUUAAGGAUUUUCUGGGCUUCUGUGUUUUUCUCAGAGGAGCUCAGAGGGUCAAAAGGUGUGGAGUGUUUUUUUCAGAACUUUCAGGGAGAAACCUCUAGGCUUCGGUGCACAGGUGUUGUGGAAAUCUGUUUCAGGGAUGCACCACAGCAACGCUCAAACUUUUGGGGGCAUGAGUAGACAUUUACCAGAAACUUGAACCUAAACUUUGACUCAAGAAUCUGCUCUGCUUUACACUGCAGUGGUCUGAUAGAUCUUUACCUAUAUGUUGGCAAAUUUAAUGUGUGUUUUGGUUUGAAGAAGGGGCGAGAUGUCAAAACGACAGUCCGAGCAGCACAUUUCAGCGGAGUGGUGAUGUGUCGCUUGCGAACGAACCAGUUCAAAGAGCUGACUCUUUAACGUGAACGAUGGGAGCCUGCUGACCAUAGGAAAAAAAAUACAAGGCAGAAUGACGGGAUUUCUAUCUGCUUUGUGUAGGAGAGUGGUUCGAUAAGCAAGUCAGUGCAUUCAUAGGGUGGUUUCAGAGAGUUCCAAGGGUCUGUAAAUGCAAUGAAAACAACUGGCUGAAGCAAUUUACUGAUAUUGGAAAAUGUAAUUUUUACUUGUGAAUACUUCAGUAAAAAGGAUGUAUUGAAUUAUGUAAGAGGUAUGUGUACACAUACGAACAUAUCAUAAGCCAAACAACACUAAAUUUGGCAGAAUUAGAAAAUGUAUUAGCGAUAAAAAUGAGGAGUGGUUUGGGAUCGUGAGCUGAGCCAAAAGAUAUGGUUCACUAAAAAGAGCCGUAAUUCCCAUCACUAUAGCUAAGUAGACUCUGGCCAUGAGCUUCACUUUAACAUCGAAUGAUUAUGAAAAUUUAAUCUAUCCAAAUAUAACUCCUUUUCUCACAAUGUUGAAUUUUGUGUAAAAUGUCAAUAAAAACAGACAUGAAUAUUUUGCGUCUUCAAACUUUUGAGGAAGUGUCUGAAGGUGACUUUGGGCCCUUGCAGUGAUUUCCACUACAAAGUCAUGUCUGUUUUGAAUGCAGUGCUGCCUCAAGAUCAUGACAAUCUACUACAUGUUUUGAUCCUUUUACCUUUUGUGCAGAGAAUUCUCCAGAUGAUAAAACUUGCACAUGAUCACUCAGAUAAGAGAUCUAAAGUUUAUAAAAACCGUACAUGUCUGUUUUGGUGAAAGUUCCACACAGAGGCCCAACCUCUCUGAACAUGGGGUUGUGUAUAGUGUAAAGCCAAAGGUAUACAAGUUUGUAAAGGGGAAAGGUGUGAUGAAAAGCUCAUGCUCAGUGCUAAUAAAGAAAAUUAAUAAGCUAAACAUUUAGCUUCACACUGAUGAGGGUCCAUCAGGUAAAGAAAACAAUCCUCUCAAUAAUAUUCUGCUGAUCUAUUCAAACACUUCACUCUCUGAGUUAAGUAAAAACUCUGACCUGACUAACUGGGGAGCAGCGAUGGAAGUCUAAAGAAGAAUCUCAGCUCACUUUUAUAGAAAUGAUAAUCAGUCUCUGAGCUGCAUAUUGAUCCAAGUAUCACUUAAGAGUUCAAUUAGACUGGUUGAGUGCGCUUAAAAUAGCCAAUUUAUUCUGCAAAUCAAAACAAGAGCAGUGUUUAAAGUAUCCGCACAAUUUAUCCUCUUCAUUUAAGCUGCCUUUGUAAUUGUAAAUCCAUUUGCAGGCUGCUUCUUUCGUCGUUGAGCAGGGAUCAUUCACAUGCUAAUUGUCUGAAAUUAGUGAAGCUUUUGAGUUUUUUCCACCCUUUUUUGAAGAGACCAGCUUGUUUUAAAAAGGAUAUGAGAAUCUUAAGAUUUCUAGAUCUUCUUACGCAAUAUCAUCCUGUCAGAUCUUGACACAAGAAAGGUAAUCAUGAUGGCUCCCUGCUUUGGUAUUUAUUCUUUCAUGCAGGUGUGUCUUAUCCCUCAAACCUGUUCCUUUGUUCAUUUUAUACAUUUUACAAAUCUAGAUGGUGAUAUGCUGCACUUGAUCUUUCACUUCAGCUUUUUAAUCCUCACAUAAUGCUUUAAUACAUCAUCUGAGUAUUGGUAUCCAGUGUUGUGCAGACUAAACUGGUGCGGUCACUUGUUAGUAACUUUUUCUCCUUUAUUAGAUUAUAAAUCUUUCAAUAAGAGAAAUCCUUGGAAUCAUUUUGGGUAAAUAAGCCACUGUAAGUGCUAGUUUCAUAGAAAAAUCUCAUCAACUUAAAAUACCAAAUCGCUAGACCAUGUUGGUGGUGCCUCUGUGGGCAAAACUGCCAUAGCUGUGGGUCUGAGGAUUUUAAGAUGCAUCUACUCUGCCGCAGUUUUGGAGAGAGGUUCUUAUGCUGCAUUCAAGUUACCUUGGAAGUCAGAUGUCGGGGCUGGAAAUGACCUUACACCCAAGUUGAUGGUGAAACAAGUCUGAAAACCAAAAUAGGCUCUAGCUGUUAGAAUUUUUAGUCGUUGUUAGCUGCUUUUAGCUGUUGUUAGCUGUUGUUAGCUAUACCAGUUGAAAACAGCAAAUAACACAGUAUUUUAGUCUUACAAACAUCAUAGCACCGAGUCCACAGUUAGACGUUGGGCAGUACCACAUAUACCACUUGUUUAAUUUCACAAAAACAAAACAGAAGUGCUGAUAAAUAAUACAUUACGAGAGCUUUCACUGUUACUCUUUACUGUUGAUGCACUGCACUCCCAUCUUGGAUUAUGAUGUUGUCGCCAAGUCGGGGUUGGUGAGGAUCUGAUGAAUUUCCAACUGGGAGCUCAGAAAAUCCAACUUCCAAGUACAAAUGGAACGCAGCAUUCGUCUUCUGAUUCUGAGAUACACAGUCAGCACAACUUGCUCCAGCCUGCCUUGUCCCGCUGCUUCCUCCAUAACCACAUGUAUUUUCACUGAUGUCUGUGUCUUUGCUGCUGCCCUCCCUGCCUUGGCGUCUCAUCGAUGCACUUGAAAAAGUGGGGAGGUGUGCUCUGCCAGCUUCAGGCUUUGGUUUUCCAUGUAAGUACAUGAAAGAGCAGGGAGCUCUUCACUUUAGUCCAACUCAAUAGUAGUCUCCAUUUCCUUAUGAAUAUGCCUCUCAGAGCACAAUGAACUCAUAAAGCAGUCUUAUCUUAUGUACACGUUUUUAUUAUAAGGAACACAAGAUAGAGGAAAUUUGGAAAUAUAAUGACAGUCUUGCACCAAAAAGUGAAAUCCCACUAAGUUGUCUUUAUGUGCUGCAGCAGACAGGCUGUUAAAAAACUGGCAUCCCUGUUCAACUUUGUCAUGAUUUAAUAUUUAAAAACAAAACAGUUGGAAAAGUUCCUGUCCCUCUAAGGAGACAAUUAUCUUAACGCCACGGAAGAACACAGAAACAUGACUAAAGACAUGUCUGUCAUGGGUUUUCAUGAUCAAGGCUGGAAGUCUGAAAAGAUUCACUUUUCUAAUGUACAGCAUCUUAUGAGAGCAUCUUUCCACUGAGCUUUGCUGCAGUUUGUUGUCCAUUACUAACAGGAGGAAAUAUCCACUUAAAGGGACAACAUGGAUAAAAAAUGCAGAACUCGGUGGAUCUGACCCUUUUUUAACCCUCAAACAGGAUUGUGUUGUAUGUAACAAGCGUUUAUGUUUCUCUUUACAGACACUUCUGUACACUCCACUCUGCUGUGUGUUUCUGACCUUGGGCAGAGCUUGUCUUUACAGUGCCUAGCUGCCAGCAGCUGGUCGGGGUGGAUGUCUCGGAUGUCAGCGCUGACUGAUGGGCAGCUCUUAGUGAAACCCCCGCGGGGCCUCUCAGUGCUGCUCACACCCCGAGAGAUGCACACAAGACUGAUGGAAAGUCGGAGGUAUGCCUAUCGACCUGUCUGCCAUCUACACACUCUGAACCUCCCACUGCCCCGCCCUCCACUACAGAGCCAUUGUAUGUUUGUGUCAAUGUGAGUGUGCAGAGCCUUCUCUAAGUGUACCACCUACACUACUUUCUUACUUUGUCUGGCUGUCUGUGUUAUUUUCAAUGAGUGGGUAGAGUCUUUCUGAGCAAGAGUCAUCGGAAAACUGCAGUUCCUUGUUCUGUGUCCACUUGGGGGCUAUCUCCAAAAGCUAAAAAAAUGCCAAUAACAGCUCAUACUAGAAUCAUUUUACAGUAGAGUCAGCUGGAUUUACUCAUGACUACUGAUUGCAUUUAAACCUGAAGCGGGGGUUAGUUUGACUGACCAAUGGGCGCAAUAUGUCUGGUGACUGAAAUAUGGCCUCAGCUUAGAAAUGAGGACUUGAGUUUGACUCUUGAACUUGAGUUGCACUUUACUCAUAGAUAACUUUCUCUUGUAUUUUUGUCUUAAUAUUACUAGAGCUCAAUCACAUACCCUCUUAAUUAUAAUCUUCCUUCUGGUGCACUUCCAGCCUCUUCAUCUGCUGCUACCAAAGCACAGUAUUUCUCACACAUAGUAUGCAACUAAGAAGGGUGAUUAAGUAUGUACUGACUGUUUUUACUCAUUUUUCAUCCACAUAAGAGUGAUCCAAGCGGGAAAGAGAGAGAGACACAGUUGAUCCCAAAAGAAAAGAUAUACCUUCUCAGACCGCUGUUUUAAAAGUUUUGUACUGCUGGUCGCUGUUGCUCUUAGUUUUGAAUUGCUAUCACAACAGAGCCCAUACACUGAUUAUCUACUGGAAUAAUGAAACAUUCAUGAGUUGUGUUCAAAAGUUUGUGAUCCAGCUGAUGAGUUUUUCUAAAAGAUUGGAAAUAAAAAGACAAAAAGGCACAAGAAGUCAUGGUGCUGCUAAAAAAGGAGAGCUUUGAGUGUCAGGGGCAGAUUUAGGGCUUACUCGGGAUCCGGAGUACGCCAAUUCCUACCGGAUCUGUUUGUGAGACGAAUUUCUUGGCAGCGGGCAUCGCAAGAACUUACAAGAACCUGCGGAUUCACGUGCAAUCGCGCGAUAACAAAUUGUCUUUAGCCACAGAGGCUAACCAUAGAAGCAGUAGAUUGUCCUUCCAGAAGAGGAAAUCUACUUCUAAACUUCUAAAAUUAGCAUGUCCUCAUCCAUGGUGUCAUCGGGAUGAAAUGCUGUCUAUAAACCUUUCACUUGUUGGUCCCCGCCCAUUUGCAUGGUGUGAAAUACGAUCUGCCUGAAACACAGAGUGUUUUGUUUUGAAAAGAAGACAGAUAUUUUAUUUUGUGUCUGUGCCCGACUUCCUUUCCAGCACAGGUUAAUCUGUGCUGAAUUUAUCCGACAUGCUCCAGUGUCCAGAAAAAAAUAGAACUCUUGCGAUCAGCUGGGGAGUCCGGCGAUUUGCAGUGGAACCGAAAGAAGCCAGUGGAAAUUGACACAUUAACUUGAAUUGUUACAAUCAGCUGCAAUCGGCGGAUAUGGCCUUUUCGUAGCCGUUACGGAUGCAGUGGAAAUUGCUGGUUAGUCUGGGGUGCCUCAGCCCCAGGGGUGCCCUUGGGUUCGGGUUAUUUUUGACUAUGUUGUUGUUUCUUGACAGUAUAAAAGAUUUGACUGGGACUUCCUGGUGCACUCAGAGACUGAGAAUUAACUUGGACUUGUGGCGAAAGACUUGAGACUUUACCUCUGUCCAUCAUCCAUCCAUCUGUCCAGCUGAACUCUACAUGGUUGACUCUUGAGAGUAGCUGAGGGGUGAGGCCUCUACACACUUGGCCAUCCGAAAGCAUAAGUUAUUGCCCAUAUUUUUCAUGAUUUCAACCUUGAUUUAUGUUCUUUGGUUGUUCUAAUCGUUCAAAUUUGGCUGAGUAGUUAAUGAAGUGUUUGUUUUGUAGCGUGACAACCUCAGAAGUCAUUUAUUUUCCCACUUUACACAGUCUUUAAUGAUGCAGCCAGUGUUUUUGUAGGUCAGUUUAGACCUCAGAUUUACAACCAAAGGAGUUAAAAGUUGUAACUACUUGAUACGUGCCGCUCUGACAUCUGCCAGUUUGCACCUGUCCGACCAGAUGAGAUGAUGUCUACUUUCUGUCUGUGGUGGAUGUAGCCUAAGGCAUAGAGCUGGAGGUCUGGAGUGUUUUUUUUUUUUUCUCUCUCUCUUUUUCUUUGACUAAAAGAUGGCUGAGCUGCACACCAUCACACACAUACACUGCACCACAGCCAGAGAGGCAGGAUCAAGCAGAAACAUCAAGUUUCAAACUGAAUCCUGAACCUUUCUGCUGGGUUUUUUGCAGAUAUGAUAUUGUUAAAAAAGUGCUGGAAAACAUUCACAAUAUGGAUUAAAAAAAAGUUUGAUUCCUCUGCUCUCCAUAUGCCAGGCCUAAUUUGCCUGACCAAUGGUUCAGCUCCACCAGUGUUUGGUCAACAAAUACAACACCGCGCCAUCGCUGCACUAAUUAACCAGAAAACUUUGAAUUCAGACACAUGCUACCUUUCAGAUCAGAAGAAAGUUUGGAUUUGACUCCACCUGCUGUUUUCACCUUAACAUGAUUGGCUUUAAAAAAACAAGUGCGGUCUCAUUCACAGCAGGCCAAUGGCAGCUUCUUGAGCUGGGCUGUGGCCAACUCUGAAAUCCACAGUUGGUUGAGACGUGCAGGUCAGUUUAUGCAAACAACACGCAAAUGAAGAGAUGAGCUGACAAAUGCAGCUCAUUACUGAGUAAUUUAGAUUGCUGCAAAAGCAUAUGGUUGCUCUGACAUAAUAGGAUCUAAAAGACAAUGACAGCACCGAGGUGGAUUUCUGGCCAGGUUUGGCCUCUGGCGCCCUGGGACUGAUACUGCUUAAUAGACUCUGAGACUGUUUUGUUAUGAUGUCAAGCUCAGAAUGAAAAACUAUGGUGUUCUGGGUUGUAAGUCCUGUAUUUCACGGCUUCCUGAUUAAUAAUCAGCCAGACAGACUAUAGAUAAAGAUGAUCAGGAGAUAGAUCAGGUUAUUCUUUGGGCUAAAAUACACAGUUGAUAACUCAAUGAGCUGAGGAUUAAAAUUGUGAUAAAUUUUCUUGAGGCAUUGUAUAAGAGAUAGAAUUGGGUAAUUAUCAGCGCGGCUACUCCCAAGUUAGAAAUUAAUGGUUCAGGGGUUAACUGUGAUUGAAAAAAGUCGGUUUGACAGUCCUAAGGUUGACUUGAGUUUGUUUUGAUCAGGGAGGUUGUGUAAAUAAGUGUCAUUAACAGAUUCCUGAAGUUAGUGACUCAAAUAGUCAUGUUGAUAAUAAUGAUUAUAAUAGGUAGAGCUGUGUGUCAUCUGCAUAAGAGUGGAAGUUUAGACCAUGUUGCUGGAUGAUCUGACAUAGGGGAAGCAUGUAGAUACUGAAGAGGAGGGGUCCAAGUACAGAGCCUUGAGGGACACCGUGCUGAUUGUUAAUUGCACGAUCUGAUAUUCUGUAUUGGCCUUUAUUGGAUUAUUGAAAAUCACAUUAACAAUAUUCCGAUUUGUUCAGUGUAUGUUUACAGUAUAAUCUGGUUUCUUCUGUUUUAUUCAAUCUCCACAAAACAUGACAAGCAGCAAAGGGGAGGAGGGUUUGAAAGAAGGUUCUUGCCAAGUCAAAGGAUCUGAAUCACCAAAAGGAGUCGCUGACAUUAGCAAAAGCCAAUGGCAAAGCUUAUCUUGGUAAGUAUCAUAGUCAACUAAAAUAAAACCCAAAGAUAAAAAAAAGACAGGUGAUUAACUCACAGCAUCGAGGCCAUUAAUGCAGCCAAAGUACGACAAUCUGGUAUCAUCAGUAAAUGCACUUAUCUAAUAUCAUAGUUUAUAUGCCUCUUUAAACUAAACUUGCUUCGAGUAAACUCCGUGAUAAAAUCCUUAAAGUUAUAGUUCCUGUGAAACUUCUGAGAGAACUUAAUGUUCUUGUUCUUAUAAGAAGAGACUUCCUCUGACAUUCUCCGCUCGUCUCCGGAGACUAUCAGUGUCCAGCGUCUGUCGGCAGAAAGAUAACACUCUGCGGCUGUUCUGGUUUGGUAAAGGCUGCUGAUGCAUCACUUCAUGUUCCCUGCUUGUCUGUGAAUUAUACAUUAAUGGAUGAGGUGGCUAUUAUCUUCAUGCAUGUCUGAUCUCUGAUACUCAGAAAAAAAUCACACAACAAAAUGCUCCGCCUGUUUGUCUAUCACACACCCACCUCUAACCUUUUCACCUCCCCAAAAAUCUCUCCUUGUUCCUAAUCCAGGAGCCCGGUGUUACUCCUGUUCAUAUGCAGCUAAAUUUAAAUCUAAACUCUUUCUGUUUCUGCCUGUGCCUCUGCCGCUUCCUCAUCCUCUUAUCCCACAUCACCUCCCCUCUUAGCUCAAGAAUCAUCUCCGGCAACUUGUAACUCUUCCAGAAACCCCGCUGAGCCACUCCCCGGGCUACAUGCAUAAAAGUCUGUGUAGAUUCAAGACGAAAGACUGUGUGGGAACAAGAGGCAGAAACAUAAAUACUGACUCUGUUUUGUGAAGUUAAUAAAGUACACAUGCUUCUGUUUUAUCAGUCUCAGUUAUAUUAAAACUGGCUGCAGUUGAAAGGCUCAUCCAGUCAGCUAUAAAUAAAGGGAAAAAAAGUGACAAGGGCCAAAUUUCAGAAUAUAUUUUUCAAUUUUUCAUACCGAGUUUUAUUUUAUAUCCAACCAUAACCAAGAAAUACUUUAUAUCAUAUCUUAAGAACAAAAUGUGUGACAGAGGGUGAUGUCUACUCCAAUGGUAUGAUGUUUAGAAGUUACCAUGAAACAGAUUGUUCCAAUCCAUCCCACUCAGAAGAAAUGUUCAUUCUCUCCCACAGGGUUGGUUAAUGUUUUGUUGUUGGCUGAUCCAACAGUUUCUUCUUGGUUGGUGUAAAGCUUUUUUAUCUUUGCAUGUCCAUUUCAUGUGACGUGAUGGGGUUUCCACCUCUGGUGUUGCUGGAGCGAAGCCAAACCAGCCUGUAGGUGACAUAAAUUUUUCACUGGAAACCGUAAAGAAACUCAAAUGUCUUGAUCAUAAAGACACAAGCAAAACAACACAUCUCUGGGGCAAGCAGAUGAGAACUACAUUUGUAGCACAUUAUUUAUGAUGACACAGUGACAUUAGUUUUUAACAUAUUUAAGCACCUUUACUUCAGUCUCCAUCCUCUUUCUGUCUGAGUCAUUGACUUUGAAUCAUCAUGCCCUUUACAAUCACUAAUAUAGUCUUUUCUUGGAGUCCCUUAGCGCCAUCUUGACGUAGGUUCUUCUACACUGCUGCUGUGUACAUUUUGCUACCGUGGACCUGCCUGCUCUCCAGCUACAUCUACCUCUACUCUGUCCAUCUUUCUCUCUCUCUCUCUCUCUCUCUCUCUCUCUCUCUCUCUCUCUCCCCUCUUUAUACUCAGCUCAGUCUCAGCAGAUGACUGUCUAACAUGGGUCUGGUUCUGUCUGUUAAAGGAAGUUCUUCCUUUCUACUGUAAAGUGUUUCACUCAUGUGGUUGAAAAUAGGAUGGGAGUAGGUCUAAUCCAAUCUUUACCUUGGUUUUUUGUACAUAGAUUAUUGGCUCUUGGGAUAACACUUGUGAAUUGGCGCUUUAAAAAUAAAGAUUGAUUUGACUGGCGGAACAACUUUACAUAUGCCAUAAUGGUUCAUCUGAUCAAUCAAUCGAUCAAUCAAUCAAAUUUUAUCUAUAUAGCACCAAUUCACAACUGUCGUGAGCAGGUCUAGACCACGCUUAUUGUUUGAUGAAUUAUCAAGACCCAACCUAAGAUGGGAUUUGGCCCAUCUCAUCUAACAUGAGUAACAGUGGCAAGAAAAAACUUCCUUUUAACAGGCAGAAACCUUGAGCAGGACCAGACUCAUGCCAGACAGCCACCAGGGAGGGUCAUAUUUAUGAAAUCUUUAUCAAUCCUUUGAACAAGAUUUCGUCUUCUCUAGAUUUUACAUGUAUGAUAUCAGUCCCUAGUUUGACACACUUGCACAAAGAUUCCUGUGAUAGCUCUUAUAGCUUGUUGAAGGGUGGAGUCAUUAAACCAUGAAACAGGAAGUUGAUUUAAUUCCUUCGUAUAUUAUUCCAUCGACUUCAAAUUUGAUAUAAUCAGGUUCAACCCUGUACACAGGUUAAUGCUAACUUCUUGACUCGUAAUAGCUCAGCCAGUCUCCUCCUCAGCGUAUCUACAUAUAUAUUUUAGUCGUGGUCAUGAUGCCAGUUAUAGGUCCAUCUUAUAUGGAUCCAUAUUUCCUUCACAUUAGCUUGCUUUCACACAUCCUGACAGUCUUUUGAAGAUGUCUCUAUCUACAUUCGAUCUGUGGGUUCAGUGUAAUCAAACAGACAUGAAUAUACACACAGAAACAAGGUAGAGAGACCCCAAAGUGUUGUUUGUUUCAGGCUGUAAACAUUCGUAUUUCUCCUGUAAAAAUGGACAUUUUCACUUCAGCUCCACAGGGAUCCCAGUGGAUUCAAGUGAACACUCAGCGUGGACUCAAGUCAGCCCCCGGGUCUGGCCAGUUUCCUGCAGCAACCUCAACUGUCUUUUUUGGAUGCAAUAUAUUUUUUAACUCCCUCUGGACAUCUUAGGAUUGCUUCCUAUCUCCAACGCCUGGCCUGGCCACCUGCAAAGGAAGCUGGCUUUCAAGCAUGCCUACACAAUCCCAUUCUCCCUUAAAAUCUGACAAACAUGUAUGUAAAACAGAAGAAGCAUACAAACCCUGAUACUUAAAUGAAUGACUUGGAAAAUGUGUACUGCUGACAUAUCUACUGUAUUGUAGUGUUAUGAAUGCUUUCUGCAUGGCCUCUAUGUGUGUGUGUGUAUUUACACCUCUACCCUCUGGUGCAUUUUCAAAAUCAGGAUUCAACGUUCCCCUCUCCUGUGUGUACCUCUCCUGCUAUCUCCCUUCUUCAAUCUGUACCCGAGGGGGAGCAUGUGAUGUAAGAGGAGCACAGCCAGAAUACUGAUAUGUGUGGUAGAAAACCUUAGUGUGACAACCCAUAAUACCUCUCCCUUAUUUGUAAUAACGAAACAUCUUGGCAGACAGUGACAGCAGAUGAUGAUGAUGCACAAAGCUGAAAUUGCUGUUAAAGUAUAAUGAGAUGCAUAAAGUGUCCCAAGAGUUAUAGAUUAUAAAUGUGUGUUAUCUAUUGCAGUAUGGUGCAGUAACAUUGAGAUAUUUUAUCAUGGGGUUAGGACUCAAAGAAGCAAGUGACUGUUUUUAUAUCAUGUCUAAUAGACUUUGAGUGUUGCAGCAGGCCGAGGGUCACAUCACGGACAUAGAGGCAGUAUAAUACAGAUCACAGGAUUAAUAAAACUGUGCUGUUAUAAGUGAGUUAACUUUGCCAUAAAUUCAACAUUAUCUCUUUUGAAGCCUGUAACCUCAUCCUCACAAACUGGACCUAAAGGUACUAUAAGGAGUUUUUAACUGGUUGUCUGAGCAGUCAUUCACUAGGAUUGAAAAAUUUCACGGUCCAAAUCCACUUUUAAAAACAAAAGUUUACAAAGUGCUUUGACAACAGUUGCAAAGCACAGAACAUCAGUAUAAAAUCAAAUAACCAAAGCUCAGUUAAAAACAAGGCCACCCAAUUAAAGGCCAAUUUCAUUUCACAUAAGAAACCCAGUGUGGUGAGACGCCUCCUCCAUCUUGUUUUAUUUUGGCUGGACUUCCUGUGUUUGCCUGGUUUGGCUUUACUCUUUUUCAGGGCUUCCUCCCCUCCCCCGACGCUGAGGCUGAGUGAGACUACACACCUGCUCCACAUCUCCAAUCAAGGCACUUUAAGAAGCCUGCAGCCCUCAGCCUCAUUGCUGAGUAUUGUCUACCCUUCCUAGCGGUAAAGACGCGUCUCCUGGCCAACCUCGUUUGUAUCAGUAUCAGAACUUUGCUCCUCAUGACUCUUUUCAUGUUCAAUAACUCCCAUCUCCUCUGGUUUUUCCUGCAGUCAGCCUACCGGACAUCCUCGUUUGCAUUUACAACCCUUUUGUUGGACAUUAAAAGUCUCUUUAAGUUGAUCUCAGUUUCAGUGUCUGCUUCUGGGUCCUCACCACGAACCAGCCACACUACACCCAGGCAAUACAAG
This 83808-nucleotide long non-coding RNA is filed under the name Xyrichtys novacula (pearly razorfish). The record is from RNAcentral. Lineage: Eukaryota; Metazoa; Chordata; Actinopteri; Labriformes; Labridae.